UUUUUUUUUUUGUGUUUCUCAAUUUGAAAGAAAAGACAAGUCGAAACAUGUUUAGGUAAACCAAAGAAUUAUUUUUAGUUGAUGAACUUGUGGGACUGUUUUGUAGUCUGUUUCGUGAUGGUAUUGGGUUGUCUAUUUUUCUACUGAUUAUAUGUAUUUGAUAGGAGGAAGGGUGUGGAGAAACACCACAUAAUGGCAAGGUUGUUUGUUGGUCGUUCGUCAUAACAUUUUCGGAUUGUUUGACACUAUUAUAGUUGUCGUAUUGUGUAUGAAGUGAUAGGGGUGUGUUGGACUGUUUGUGACGGUUUUGACUAGUGUGAAGUAAUAUAUAUAGGGGAGGUGCUGUCCGUUUUAUUGUAAAAUAAGUUUGUGGUCAAUACAUAAUAGUUACAACGCUUAAAUGAUAACGAGAUUGUCAUUUCUGUAAUUGUAGACUAAGGAGCCGUGAAAUUGCAUAGCUUGAGGUUGGGAAGAAUAUAAAAGGUAUGUUAAGGCUUUUACCUAUUUCUUUUAUCAUGAUCUUAAGUGACAUGAACAUAAAUAGUAUGCCAAUUCAUAACGGAUCUACUCCUAGAAAUUUAAGUUGUUCAUGUUGUUCUUUCCUUAGAAAGAUAUUCUAAACAACUGUGUAUGAUCCUUAAAUCCUACUAAGGUUCAUAUUGAUGGUAAGGAUGUCCAUAAUGUUCUUAAGUCACUCCAAAAGGUUUAGAACCUUAUUCCAUGAGUAGAGCAUCCAUUAUAUAUAUGUAUCUAUUUUACUCUACCGAGCCGCGCUAUUGUCGGCCGGGUACGGUACCUAUUAGGUGAUUCCAUGAGUUGAGCAUGCAUUAUAUAUAUGUAUCUAUUUUACUCUAUCGAGCCGCGCUAUAGUCGGCCGGCUACGUCACCUACUAUGCAACCACUGAUCAGUUGGGUUUUACCGAGCACCACGUGGGCGGGUACGAUUCUACCGAGCCUUAUGAUGGCUGGGUACAUUUUUACCGAGUCCUCUAUGAGGCCGGGUACGAUUUGAUGAUGAUGAUGCCUACAGAGGAAAAUAUUUUUAAAAGUUUAUGUAUAUAUAUGUAUUAUGCAUUUCAUAUCAGUAGCCCCCAGAGGUACUCAUAUGUUAUAGGUUGUAUCUCUCUUUACAUUGCUGUUCUUGUUUAUGCUUUCAUGCCUUACAUACUCGGUACUUUAUUCGUACUCAGCCCCCAGAGGCACUCAGAUGUUACAGGUUGUAUUUCCUCUAUCUCUUUUUACAUUACAGUUCUUAUUUAUGCUUUCCUGUCUUACAUACUCGGUACUUUAUUUGUACUGACGUCCCUUUUGCCUGGGGACGCUGCGUUUCAUGUCCACAAGUCCCAAUUGAUAGGUUGAAAGUCCUCCUAGUAUGCUAUCAGCUCAGCGGAGGUGUUGGUGCACUCCACUUGCUCCGGAGUUGCCUAUUUGGUCAAUAUGCUUUGAAUAUGNNNNNNNNNUUCUUAUUUAUGCUUUCCUGUCUUACAUACUCGGUACUUUAUUUGUACUGACGUCCCUUUUGCCUGGGGACGCUGCGUUUCAUGCCUGCAGGUCCCGACUGAUAGGUUAAAAGUCCUCCUAGUAGGCUAUCAGCUCAGCGGAGGUGUUGGUGCACUCCACUUGCUCCGAAGUUGCCUAUUUGGUCGGUAUACUUAGAAUAGGUAUUGAUUGGUAUGGCGGGGCCCUGUCCCGACCUUUAUCAUUUUAUGUACUCUUAGAGGCUUGUAGACAGAUGUCAAGUGUAUGGAUACAUUUAUGGCUUUGUUAGACUACAUUUUGAGUUUAUAAAUGGUCAUGCGGCCUUGUAGGCCCGUAUAUCACAUGUAUAAGUUUGCAUAUCAUGAUGGGUAUUCAGGCUCACUUACCCACUAUAGCAUGAUAAGAAAGAUAUGUUAUGUUGGUACUAGGUCGAGUAAGGUACUGGGUGCCCGUCACGGCCCUUUGGUUUGGGUCGUGACACCACCUCACUAGUUCUCGAUGGUGGUGGGACAGCAACACCUUCAACAACUUUAUCAGCUUCAUCAACAUCCUCAGCCAUAACUAUCGGCUCGCUCCAAUUGUGAUUUUGCUAGCCUGGAACAAGGCUUUCAAUGGCAGUUUCCCAUUAACUCUAGGAUUUUUAGGGACUCUAGCAGCACAGCACAACUUGGUGACCAGAGAAGGGAAGUAAAAACCUUUGAGUUCCUCAUGUGAGUGAACGAACAUCUCAUCAUGGAGGAGCUUGGUGAUGUCAAAAUCUUGGUGGGUCAUAAAAUUGUAGAUAGCUACUUCCCGUGACCUAUUGACAUCGAUCAUGUUGCUGGAGGGUAGCAAGCAAUUGUUGAUAAUGGCGAGCCAACUAAGCCUCCCAAUUAAGAUACUGUGAGUUCAAUUUGAUCCCGUGCUUUAUCCAUAUAUCCUCCCUGUAAAGCACACAUAUUACUUCAAGAAGUGGUGCCCAAUAGACAGUUGGGCGAUAAUAAGCAAUGUAAGUAUCACCCUCGUGAAUACUGGCAACCGGUACAAACGGCGUAUGGCCUUGAGGGACGCAUUUACCUGGGUGUUGCGUACUGUGACAACCCCAUUCUCAUGUUCCAGGAAGUUACUAUAAAACUCCUUCACCAUUUGUACAUUCACCUCCUUCGGUUCCUCAAAGAAGAUGUCCACCCGACACCUCCUCAACUAAGCAAAGAUAUUGGGGAAUUCCACUUACAAAGCUUCCCUGUCAAUAUUCACAUCCGCUAACACUUUCUUUAACGCCUUGGCAUUAUAUCUGUCCUCAGCAGGUUUGGAGACAAACCUACCGCGGUCAAUCUGUGUCGCACUAGCUUGACCCUGAGCUCUUGAAGAACUUCCUGAUCCACUAGCGGAGAAUCCUGUGUUGCGUCUCUUCCUAGAUGGAUGCAUUGUAGCCGUCAAACACAGAAUCUCCUAUCAGUGAGGGUGUGAGUUGUGUGAACCAUGUGCAGUUACUCAGACUUCACCACUACCAUGGUCACAUUAGCCCUUAGAACUCCAUUGGGGCAAUUUCAUAAACAUCUUGUGAGCAAGGUGUUAUCUUAACACAUUAGCCCUCAUGGAUACAUCAAUUCAUCCCCCAAAUAAAUAAUUUGCACUCACCAUUUCACCCCACAACAAUUAGUCUAACACAUACAAGCACAUACAUCUCUACAACAUUAGGCACAUAACCCAUUAAAAAGCAAAAAGGAAAAUCAAAAUAAAAAAUCUACGAAAAAUAAUACACAAUUAAAACAUUAAACUACCAUAAAAACUAAAACAAAAAUACAAGAGAAGAGAGAAGCAUGACAUACCUGCGAUGAGUAGAGAGUGAGAGGAAUGUGGGUUGGGGGAGAUGGGUGGAAUUAUGGGAGAAGUAAAGAAGAAGAAGAAAAAGAAGAAGAAGAUAUGAGAGAAGACUUAGGGUUCUUAGAGAGAGAGAGUAGAUGGGGUAAGUGAGGGGGAUCGGGAAUUCAAUGAAAGAAAAGGGGGAAAAGAACUUAGAAAAGAAAAUAAAAUAAAAAAAUAAUUAAAAAAAUGAAAUUUUACUUACCUGGUGACGAAAAUCGGUGAAUCGCCGCGGACAACCGUGGUCCCACCGCUGCCGUGGUGAGUGACAGAGGCCAAGGCAGAAUGUUUUCAUUUGUCUGCGGUCAUGGUGCGGGGAUUUUUUUUAUUUAUUUUUAUUUUUAUAAGGUUAGAGAAGAAAAUAAAAAAAGACCAUUCGUGGGUCGCCUCCCAUGCAGCACCUGAUUUAACGCCACGACACGACGUAGGCUGUGAUCAUCACUUCUCAUUCGCUUACUGGGGCUCUUCCAAAGCUAUUAUCUCUCUGUCCCCUUUUUCUUCUACCAUUCCAAGGUAAUGUUUCAACCUUUGCCAUUCACCAUAAACUUAUUUGUCCCAUCUUCUGAUUCAAUCUCUAUUGCUCCACUUAAGAACAUUUGCACCACUCUGAAGGGUCUGACCAUCGGGACUUCAACUUACCCGGAAACAAUCUCAAUCUUGAGUUGAAUAACAACACUAGCUCUCUGGAUUUGAAGUUUCCAUCCAAGAUGUGCUUAUCAUGAAUUAGUUUUAUCCUUUUUUGUAUAAUCUAGCACUCUCAAAUGCUUGUAAGCUGAAUUCCUUGAGCUCAUAUAACCUAAUGACUCUGUUGGUGCCUAUUGUCUCCAUAUCCAAGUUCAAAUGCCGCAAUGCCCAAAGUGCUUUUAUGUUCGAGCUCUAUUGGAAGGUGGCAUGCCUUUCCAAACACCAAUUUGUACGGCAACAUACCAAUUGAAGUUUUGAAUAUUGUACGGUAUGCCCACAAUGCAUCAUCAAGCUUCAUCGCCCAAUCGGUCCUUGUUGCAUUCACUGUUUUUGUAAGGACACUUUAAUUUCCCUGUUGGGUACUUCAACUUGCCCGCUUGACUACGGGUGAUAAGGGGUGGUCAUUUUAUGGCGAGCUCCAUACUUUUCCAACAUCCGUGUGAACGCUCUAUUGCAAAACUGGUUUCCACCAUCACUGGUUAUAGCUCUCGAGGUGCUAAAACGUGUGAAGAUGUUUUUCUUUAGAAAGCCAUUACCCGUUUUGCAUCAUUGGUUGGCAGAGCCACCGCUUCUACCCACUUGGGGACAUAGUCAACCGCUACCAAUAUGUAUUUAUUGCCAUAUAAGCUGAAAAACGACCCCAUAAAGUCGAUCCCUCACAUGUCCAGAACCUCCACCUAUUGAGUUGUGGUCAUUGGCAUCUCGUGUUGGCGAGAUAUGUUGCCCAUCCUUUGGCAUUCAUCGUAACUUUUGAACCAAUUGUGGGCAUCUUAGAACAAAGUUGGCUAAUACAACCCCAAUUCCAACACCUUAACUGUUGUCCGAAUUCCUCCAAAGUGUCCACCAUACGGUAAAGCAUGGAAAGCCUACACAACAGAAUGUUGAUAUUUCUCGUGGAUACACCUCUAGAUCAUUUUAUCUACACAUAUUUUAAAUAGUAGAGAUUCAUCCCAAUAUAAACAUUGAAAAUUGCAAAAGAGCUUUUUCUUUUGAAUUGAAGAGAGUUCAUAAGGUACAAUACCACUUGCUAAAUAAUUAGCAAUAUAAGCAUACCAAGGCAUCUCCUCCAUUAUCAAUGUAGUAACUGUUCAUCCGGGAAUAUCUCUGUUAUAUCCUCAACUAUACCUUCCUUUCAGCUCCUUCCAACCUUGAGAGGUGGUCGGAUACUUAGUUCUCUGUCCCUUUUCUAUCUCGGAUUUCCAUAUUGAAUUCUUGUAGCAAAAUAAGCCGGCGAAUCAAGCGUGGCUUUGAAUCCUUCUUUUUUAUCAGGUACCUAAUUGUUGCAUGGUCAGCGUAAACAAUAACUUUUGAACCAAUCAAGUAUGACCUGAAUUUGUCGAAUGCAAAAAAGAUAGCCAUAAUCUCUUUUUUUGUCACAGUGUAAUUGCGUUAUGCACCGCUUAGCAUUCUAUUUUCAUAGUAAAUUAGGUGCAUCAGUUUAUUCUUUCGUUACCCCAAGACUGCUCCUACAGCAUAGUCACUUGCGUCGCACAUGAGCUCGAACGGUUGCUCCCAGUCGGGUGCAACAAUGAUAGGUGUAGUCACCAAUCUCUUCUUCAGCUCCUCAAAUGCCAACCUACAAUCACUAGAAAAAAAAGGGCUGAUCCUUUUCAAGGAGUUUGCAUAACAGGUUAGCAAUCUUAGAGAAAUCUUUAAUAAAUCGCCUGUAGAACAUGGCGUGCCCAAAGAAAUGUCUCACCGCCUUGGCUGAAGUAGGUGGUGGAAAUUUCUCAAUCAUGUCAACCUUAGCAUGGUCAACCUUAGCAUGUUCAACCUCGAAUCCCUUACUGGACACUCAUCUCCCCAAGACUAUCCCUUCUUGUACCAUAAAAUGGUACUUUUUCCAGUUCAACACUAAAUUUGUCUCCACACAUCUUCUUAGUACUCUUCUUAAGUACUGAAGUCAGUCCUCGAAUGAAUCCCCCACCAUGGAGAAAUCAUCCAUAACUACCUCCAUAAUGACCUCAACCAUGUCCAUGAAAAUGGCUAACAUACAUAGUUGAAAUGUCGUCGGUGCAUUACAUAGCCCAAAAGGCAUUCUCCGAAAGGCAAAGAUGCCAUACGAACAGGUAAAUGUUGUUUUCUCUCUGUCUUCGGGGGCUAUUGAGAUCUAAUUGUACCCUGAAUAUCCAUUCAAGAAAUAGAAAUGAGAUCGCCCAACCAACAUAUCCAACAUUUGGUCAAUUAAUCAAAAGGAAAAAUGGCCCUUCCAAGCGGUUGUGUUCAAUUUUCGGUAAUCCAUGCAAAUCUGCCAUCCCGUGAUUGUACGAGUCGAGAUCAACUCGUAAUUCUCAUUUUGUACAACCGUCAUUCCUCUCUUUUUCGGGACACAUUGAAUAGGGCUAACCCAAUUGCUGUUAGAGAUGAGGAAGAUGAUACUCCCUUCUAACCAUUUGAUCACUUCCUUCUUCACCACCUCUUUCAUAUUUGGGUUCAGCCUUCGUUGAUGUUCUCUGGAAGGUUUGUGCCCUUCUUCCAAGAAAAUCUUGUGCAUACAAAAAGCAAGAUUGAUACCCUUUAUAUCUGCCGUGGUCCAAUUAUUGGCAGUUUUACAUUCUUGUAACACCUGUAAGAGUUGCUCUACAUGCAUAGCUAGCAAACCGGAUGAUAUAAUAACACGUAAAGUAGAAUUAGGUCCUAAGAAAGCAUACAUGAGGCGAGCUGCAAGUGGUCAGCUCCAGUUUGGGUGGUUCCUCUACUAAUGGUUUUGCCGAUGGUGUAACUCUCUUGUCUAACUCGAGGUACUCGAACUGAGGUCCCUCUUCUAGAAUCCUUGACCUUCGGGUGCCAUGACUUACUCUUCCAACCCUUGACCAUCCAUCUUAUCUAAAAUUUUCAAGCAAGCCCCCAAUGGAUCUUUAGUAGUCAGGGUCUCAUCAUCUUCAUGUAGUAUCACAUCCACUGCCUCCACUAGGGAGCAAUUAGCAUAUUCACUGGGUCUCCUCAUUGAUUCCUGAACGUUGAAUAUAACCUUUUCAAUGUUCAACCUCAUUUUAAUUCCCCAGUUUCACAAUCGAUCAAUGUUCUCCUAGUGGCUAAGAAUGGCCUCUUUAGAAUGAUGUGUAUCUCCUCAUCUACCAAGCAAUCCAAAAUAACAAAGUCUACAGGGAAUAAAAACUUCUCCACUUGUACCAACACAUCAUCAAGAAUAUUUGUCGGCCUUUUAACCGUGCGGUCAACUAGUUGCAAAAGCAUCAAAGUCGGUCUAGCUUUGCCAAUGCCUAGUUUUUUAUAUAUUGCCAAGGGCAUUCAGUUUAUGUUGGAUCUUAAGUCACAUAAUUCUCUUGCAAAGGAAUACCUCCUUAUAGUAUACGGGAUAGUGAAGCUACCUGGGUCAGACAUCUUUUGAGCCAUGGGUCUUGUCACUACCGCACUGCAUGUCUGUGUCAGAGUUACUAUGAAUAGGUCCUGAAAGUCAAACUUGCAUGACUUUAGGUCCUUCAUCAUAUUUUUGUAGCCUUUCAUCGCCCUCAAAGCAUCUAUCAUAGGAAUAUUCAACUUAAUUUGACGAAGCAUCUCCAUGAAUUUCCUGUAUUGAUCUUCCUUCUUUUGUUUCGCCAGUCUAUGAGGGAAUGGUGCAGGUAUCGCCCUUGGUGCACUGCUUGCAGGCUUCUCUUUGUUGGGGUUCUGUGGCACAAGAGGUACCACAUGUUCUGUAUCUUGUUCACUCUCUUUAGCCUUACUCUUGUCGUCCUGAACAUGUUUAACCACCACUUCAGUAAGUUCUACUGAUUCAUCAACCUCCAAUGGAACUGGAGUUGCUGGCACAGUCUCUCUGAUGGAUUGUGAAACUUAUUGCUCCCUGUCUAAAUCUCUCCAAUUUUGGAGACUUACUGCCAUCAACUGAUUGGGGUUUUCCUCCUUAGGGUUAAUGUUCGUGUCUACUGGAAAUGUUCCCCGGGGGCGGUUGUUUAAGGCCACUGACAACUACCCCAAUUGAGUUUCAAUAUUCUUUAUUGCUGAGUCAUGCACUGCCAACUUUUCCUGCAUCUUACCAUUUGUUCCAAUGAGUUGUUUAAGCGUACCCUUGAUUUCUACCAUGUUGCUAUCAUGUUUCCGAGGAGGUGGAUGAUAUGCUAACUAUUGCUGAUUCUUCUGUGGAUAGCUCUGUUGUCUAUGAUAUGGCACCAUUUGGCCUUGAGGCUGCAUACCUCCAGGUUGUGGCAUGUUUGGUCUGUACUGCUGAUUGGGUGCUGGCCUCUAUUAUUGUCCUCCUUGUCUUUGACCCCCAAAAUUAUUGACAUAAUUCAUAUCCUCUCUUAACCCUUGAUUGUCACCUUCUCCACUCCAUGAACACACAUAAGACUGAUUAAUUCAAGGUGUACACAGUCCUCCAUUUAUUGUGUCAAGGAUAUGCACUUGCUUUGUACCUAUCUCGUCAAUCUUCUUUGUCAAUAUACUCAUCUGAGUCAUGAGUGUGGCUAUAUUCUCUGCAUGUGAAUUGUUUGAGUCAACAGGAACUGAAUGCACUAUUGGUGGUCGUACCUCUCGUCAUCUACCCCAAAUUUUGGGACAUCUUGUCAAGAAGGAUUUUACACUCAGUGAAUGUCUUGUUCCAAAAUGCAUCCCCAACUGAAGCAUUUACAUUGGCCUUUAUAUUGUCUGCUAACCCCAUGUAAAAUCUCUGACCGAGCAUCUGGUUUGGAAUACCAUGGUGGGGACACUUCACUAUCAUCCCUUUGAAUCUUUCCCAAGUUUCCUGCAAGGUCUCAGUAGGCUGCUACUUGUAAUACAAUAUCUCAUUAAUUUGACUUUUAGUCUUGUUAUGCGAGUAAAAGUUGUUCAAGAACUGCUUGACUAAUUACUCCCAGGUGACAAUGGAAUUUAUUACGAUCAAUUCAGCCAAGUAUAAGCUUCCCCAGUCACAGAGAACGGGAACAGUGACAACUUGAUAGAUUCUGGGGUCACAUUUGGUUGUCUUAGGGUCACACAAAUCAAUAGAAAAUUUUUCAAAUGUUGUUGAGUGUUUUCAAUCGUGACCUGGAGAACAAUCCUUUAUCCUGCAGAAGAUGCAGCAUGUUGUUGGUGAUCUGGAAUGUCUCCGCUUGUAUUGGGGGCACAAUAAUGGUAGUGGCCAGGUUGUCAGGUUGGUUGUGCCCAAUCAUAAAAUGCAGCUUCUAGGGGUGCCACCACUCUGACAUUUGGGUCAUCUUUCUCAUUGCUGAUGUUUUCGUUGACGUUAUCUACGUCACCUUUGUCAAUUUCACAUUGGUAUGUUUGUUGUGAUUUUUUGUUCUUCUUGUUGGAACGGUUUAAUGCCCUGAAUGUUUUCUCAGGGUCUAAGAGUCCUUUUAGCAGUUCACCAGUCCUCAAAGAAUCUCUAGUCAUACAGCUGAAUCCCACAAGAGUUCAAAUGUGAGAAUUUCAAUGAAAACAAAUUGUUUAACACCGUAGAAAAUUGAUCUAAACUAAUAAUUCUAGCAGUACUUCUAAGUUGUAAUAAAUAACACAGUUAGUUCCACGACAAUGGCGUAAAUUUUUAUCACGCCCAACUAUACCUUACAAAAGAUAAAGUGAUUAUUGCAAAUAUAAUUCGAUUUUUUUAGCCUGGAGUCUAACCUCAGGGAACUAACCUAUCUAUUACAACUUUUGGUGAAUCUAUUAGCUCAAACGAUUCCAGGUGCAAGAUUUUUAUCAAUAAUGAUUGGAUUUUUGUUUAACUACUUCAAAAUGCUAUUGAAACUAACAAUGUGCUAAAUCAAAGAUAAUUCAACGGUAAAAAGGUCUAGGGUAUUGAUUUCCCCAAUUGCUAGUUUAAGUCUUAACUCUUUUGCUAUAAUCUUGCCGCAAUACUCUAUGAGGAUUAUGAGUUGUGGGUUAUCGCAAUUAUCUCUCGAUCAACUAUGAUAAUUUACUAGAACAUUCUCUCGAACUACUCUAGCUAAUAAUUUACGCAGCUCUGAAUUAUCCCAUCAAAGUAUCAUUAUCUCUAACCCCACUUUUAAUUUCAAGUAAUGAAUCUCUUCAAUUACAGAUUAUGAGCAACGGGUUAUCGCAAUCAUCUCUCGAUCAACUAUGAUAAUUUACUAGAGCAUUCUCUCGAACUUCUCUAGUUGAUAAUUUGUGCAGCUCUGAAUUAUCCCACCAAAGUUUCGUUAUCUCUAACCCCACUUUUAAGUUCAAGUAAUGAAUCUCUUCAAUUACCCAAAAGUGGUGUUGUUUAACAGCAGUCUAACCUAGUAUUCUUUCUCAAGCAACACAAGGCAAUUAGACACGGUUAAUCAAGCCCUUUCAACUAAUCACCAUACACAACAUAGUUGAACAAUCAUAUAAUAAACCCGGCUCGAUUAUAACAAAAUUGAGUCAAAACUUCAUCCAACAAUUGAUUCCAUCAACCCUAGAUUAACUAUUUAGCUACUCAUAGCUAAGCAAGAAAAAACUACAAAAAUGUCCAUGAUGAGCAAUUAAAAUAAUUAAGAGAAGAUAGAAAAACUCUAAUGUUUGAUAGCUCUUCUCACACUUUUUAUUGCCUCCAUAUUAGUCUAAAAACAAGCUUGAAACUUCCUUGGGCGAGCUUCUUGAGUUUGUAAGGGUUUGGAAUAAGUUUUCCCUGAUUUACACUUUGGUCCCAAAAGUUCUGGGCAGCUGCACAGUUCACCGCGGCAAAAUGCGGCAAAACGCGACGUGACUGCGGUGAGAGACAAUUAUUCUGCCUCGCUUCCUUAUCCCCAGUCAUCUUUUUUCUUCUUUCCACUCGGAUGCUUCUUUGUUGGCCUUUUUCCCCCACAUUAUUGACUCCAAAACAGUCUAUAGUUCUUUCUAUCUUGGAUUAGUCCCUGCGAAGCAAAAGAACACCAAUUAGAGCAUUUUGUUAUCAUUUAGCCUUUCAAACAACAAUAAUGUAUGGUACAUUUAGGGUGUAAGUAUCGUCUAUAAAGUACUACCAUCGUAUCGAGAGCAUCAAUGCAAUUGAGAAAAUAAAUGGUGGAGUAACAAGAUUGAAAGUAUUUUUUUAUGGACAUGGUAUGAACCCCAAUAGGGUCUUGACAAGAAUAUCCAAGGGAUCACCCAAUCGAUACAACUAAAGUAUCACCGCACAACUUUUGGGCUUGGGUAUGAAUACACAUGGUACGAGUAUCAGAAUUGGUCGCCAUCGUGACGUUAUCCUUAUUUCCCUAUUGAACCAAUACUGCACCUUUACCAGACAAUUUAACAAAUUGACAUGAUAUGGGGAUUUGAAGAGGAUGAAACUUUAGCUGGCCUAAGGAACCUAUUUCUAGAUUAUGAAAACACGGAUUGCAAUGCAAUAGUUAAGGAGGAGGAUGAUAAAGACCUUUCAAUGCAGACAGUAGGAAAAGGAGUUCUUCUCAAGAACUGGACUGCUGCACCAUCUCGGGCCCGUCGAGUUCCUAGGUAGCCUGGCAGUUAGCAUGAUCUAUUUUAAAAGCAACUUUAAGCAUUUAAGAAAUUUUCAGUAUUUUGUUUUGGACGUAUUUUGUUUUGAAAGAUGUGCUCGGGUCAUCGAGCCGUCAUUGUUUCAAGAUUUAUUUAAUGCAUUGCUAUUUUAGUAUUCAUUAUUAUCGUUUAAAUUUCUCUACAACAUGAUUAUUACUUAUCCUGCUAAACCAAAAGCUGUGACAUGUAAUGAGAUAACAAAACAUAAGGAUAGUGAUUAAAAGGAAAUAGAAAAAGAAAAAGAAGAUAUAGUACCCGAGGAAAUUGUCAGGGAGGUGGAAACUUUGAGAACAAGCUUAAGUCUAAUCUGAACAAAACUGAGAUAGUAAUUUAGGGAGAUUCUAAAGCAUUCAAAGAAACUCACAUAAGCAUUCACCUGUUACCAUAAGAGAAAGAAGAGUACACCCAUUUCCUGAAAGAGUACGAAGAUAUAUUUGCAUAGUUUUAUGAUGAUAUGACUGGUCUGAGCACAUGUGUAGUGGAUCAUAAACUACCUACCAAUUCAAUGGGCCUACCUGUAUAGCAAAAGCUCAGAAAGUUCAAGCCAGAUAUGAUUCUAAAAAUCAAAGAGGAAGUCACCAAACAGAUUAAAACUAAAGUUCUUAGAAUGGUCGAAUAUCCUACUUGGUUGGCUAACAUCGUGCUAGUUUAGAAGAAGGAUGGGAAGGUCAGAGUGUGCAUCGACUAUCGGGACUUAAACAAAGCAAGUCCCAAAGAUGAUUUCCCGUUACCCAACAUACACAUACUAAUCGACAAUUGUGCCAAGCAUGAACUCCAAUCCUUUGUGGAUUGCUUCACGAGAUACCAUCAAAUCUGGAUAGAUGAAUAAGAUGCCGAGAAGAUAGCCUUUAUUACUCCACGAGGACUGUGUUUCCAUAAAAUGAUGUUGUUUAGUCUGAAGAAUGCUUGGGCCACUUAUAUGAGAGCCAUGAAAACCAUUUUCCACGACAUGAUACACAAAGAGGUAGAAGUAUAUAUAGAUGAUGUUAUCAUCAAAUCCAAGAAGGGCACAGAUCAUAUAACGGAUUUGAGAAAGUUCUUUGUUUGGCUUCGAAGGUAUAAUCUGAAAUUGAAUCCCGCAAAUGUGCCUUUGGAGUUCCUAUUGGAAAGUUAUUAGGAUUCAUCGUUAGCCGCCGAGGAAUUGAGCUAAACCCGUCAAAUGUCAAGGAUAUCCAGGAUGUUCCACCACCAAAGAAUAAGAAAGAUGUGAUGAGCUUCUUGGGGCGUCACAAUUACAUCAACUGCUUCAUAGCACAAUUGACCAUGAUCUAUGAGCCGAUUUUCAAAAUGUUAAAGAAGGAUGACGCAACAAGUUGGACUGAAUACUGCCAGAAAGAUUUUGACAAAUUCAAGGAAUAUUUGUCCACACCAGCAAUCCUUGUCCCGCCAGUACCCAGGAGACAUUUUCUACUAUAUUUGUUUGUACUAGAUGGGGCUUUCGGUUGUGUCUUGGGACAACAUGACAAGAAGGGGAAAAAAGAGCAGGCCAUUUACUAUCUAAGUAAGAAGCACACCCUAUGAGGCAUGAUAUUCUUUGUCGGAACACACCGGUUGUGCCCUGACGUGGAUAGCUCAGAAAUUGAGGCACUACUUUUGUGCCUACACUACAUAUCUCAUAUCAAGAACAGAUCCUCUAAAAUACAUUUUCUAGAAACCCAUUCCUACAGGGAUGAUGGAAAAAUGGAAGAUACUGUUGAGUGAAUUUGAUAUUUUCUAUGUGACUCAAAAGGUGGUCAUGGACAAGCAUAAACAGAUCAUCUCGCAGAAAAUCCUGUAGGGGAGAAUACAAACCAUAGAAAAUAUAUUUUCCUGAUGAUGAAGUAUCAUUUGUAGGAGAAGAUAUCACUGAAACUCAUGAUGGUUGGAGAAUUUUUUUGAUAGAGCUACAAACUUCAAAGGAAUGGGUAUUAGAGCUAUCUUAGUAUCAGAAAUAGGUCAGCAUUAUCCGGUAUCUGCAAAACUCAAGUUUUCAUGCACUUAUAGUAUGGCAAAAUAGAGUCUUGCAUCUUGGGGCUCAAUUUGGCCAUUGUCAUGAAUAUCUAGGAAUUGUUGGUAAUUUGUGAUCCAAGCCUUCUAGUACAUCAGGUUCUAGAAGAGUGGAAUACAAAGAAUACCAAAAUACUACCGUAUAUGUAUCAUGUGCAAGAGUUGAUGAAACGAUUCACAAAGAUAGAAUUCAAACAUAUUCCGAGAAUUGAGAAUGAGUUUGCAGAUGCAUUGGCUACUUUAUCCUCCAUAAUGCAGCACUCGGAAAAGAAUUUCAUCGACCCUGUUCCAGUAAGAAUCCAUAAUCAGCCAACUUAUUGCGCUCAUGUUGUAGAAGAACCAUAUGGGAAUUUGUGGUUCCAUGAUAUCAAGGAAUACUUGGCAAAAGAAGAAUACGCAUAGCAUGCAAAAUCAUACUCAGAAACGCACAUUCCGAAGAUUAUCCAACUAUUUCUUCCAAAGUGGAGGAAUUUUGUACAGAAGGACUCCAGACCAUGGAUCAUUACGGUGUGUUGACGCCAAGGAAGCUUCCAAAAUGCUCGAAGAGAUACAUGUCUGAACUUGCGGACCACACAUGCACGGUUUCGUUUUGGCCAAGAAGAUAUUGAGGGCAUGAUAUUUUUGGAUGACUAUAGAAACAGACUGCAUCAUAUAUGUCCAAAAGUUUCACCAAUGUUAAAUACAAGCAGAUAUGAUGCGGGUACCACCAAAUGGACUCAUUGCAACAAGUGCACCUUGGCCUUUUGCCGCUUGGAAAAUGGAUGACAUUGGUCCGAUCGAGCCUUCCACUACGAGCGGGCACAAAGUUCAUUCUAUUACCCAUAGACUACUUCACAAAUGGGUUGAAGCUACAUCAUACAAGGCUGUAACUAUGAAAGUCAUCACAUAUUUUGUUAGAGAUUGUAUUGUUUGCCGAUUCGGGGUGCCAAAAUCCAUCAUCACAGACAACGCUGCCAACCUCAACAGUAACUUAAUAAAAGCUAUGUGUGAAACCUUCAAACUCAAGCAUAUAAAUUCCACAUCAUACAUACCUCAAAUAAAUGAAGCCGUGGAGGCCGCAACAAGAAUCUUAAGAAAAUAUUGAGAAAGAUGGUAGAUAAUCACAAGCAAUGGCACGAGAAAUUACCAUUUGCCUUAUUGGGAUAUCGUACCACAAUUCGCAGAUCAACUGGAGCAACUCCCUACAUGUUGGUCUACGGCAUUGAAGCAGUCAUUCCUGCCGAGGUGAAGUUCCUUCCUUAAGAAUUAUUUAAGAAGCUGGACUCAAUUAUGCAGAAUAGAUAAUAAGUAGCUACGAACAAUAGCUCUUAUUGACGGGAAAAGAAUGAAUGUGGUAUGCCACAAUCUACUUUAUCAAAAUAGAAUGUCCAGAGCUUUAAACAAAAGUGUCAGACCUAGACAGUUCACACCGGGGCAGCUGGUGCUGGAGCGGAUCUUCCCGAUCAAGAUGAAGCCAAAGGGAAAUUUUCACCUAAUUGUAAAGGGCCCUAUAUGGUUCACAAAGUACUGACAGGAGGAUCACUCAUACUCGCAGAAAUGGACAGAGAAAUUUGGCUAAAGCUUAUCAAUUCAAACACAAUCAAGAGAUACUAUGUUUAGAUUGUUUGCCUUUCUUCAUCUGAUAUAACUGAACUACACUUGACCUGAUUCCCAUAUAAGAGGAAAUACAUAGGCAGCCUUGUAGGUUCAGUCACAUCUUAAUAAAAUCUUCAUUUUUCCCAUGGUCAGAAACUGGGGCAGAAUUUUGAGAAUUGCCCUCAAAAUUUAAUAGCAAGUCCUGCCAAUUCAUCAUAUGUGGAAUUUUGAGGAGGACCCUCAAAAUUCUAAUGCAAAGAAGUUGCUAUAUCUCUAAAUGUCACAGAAGUUGGUUCAUCUAAUUUGCCUGAUAUUUCAUACUACUAUGUUUUUUAAAUAACUAUAUUCAUCAAAUACAUGCAUAUUUGUCGAAAACUUUAUUUCUAUGACAGCCAGAUAUUACCCCAGGUGACUCAAACAGAAUCUCAAGACAGGAGCAUGGGAAAGCAGAACACGAAGGCACAAAUCAACCUUUCCCGUAAAACUUAAUACUUUGUUUUGGAUGCGGGAACAAAGAAUAUUCACAAAUAUGUACAUAUAUUAAAAUCGUAACGACAAGUCGUCAAAUGUAAACAUGUAUCCAGAUAAUACUCUGCUACCACUCAUUGCCUUUUCUUUGCAUGAGGGAAAGCAUUUCCUCCGUAUUUGCAUAAGUCUAAGCAUUAUCUUCCAUUACAUGAGACUAAUUGUCUCCUUUCCAUUGCAUGAGACUAAGCAUUGUCUCCUCUCUUUGCAUGAGUCUAAGCAUUGCCUCCCUAAUUGCAUAAAUCUAAGAACUACCUUCCAUUGCAUGAGACUAAGCUAUGUUUCCUUUCCUUUGCACGAGGCUAAACAUUGUCUCAUAUCCUUGUAUGAGGCUAAGCAUUGUCUCCCUAAUUUCAUAAGGCUAAGAACUUCCUUCCAUUCAUGAGACUAAUUUAUUUCUCAUUUCCCUUGCAUGUGACUAAGAAUUUUCUCAUGUCCUUGCAUAAGGCUAAGCAUUGCUUAUCUAAUGGAAUAAGGCUAAGUACCGUCUUCCAUUACAUGAGACUAAGUCCUGUCUCCUUUCCCUUGCAUGAGACUAAACAUUGUAUCCUCUCCUUGCAUGAGGCUAAGCAUUGCCUCCCUGAUUGUAUAGGGCUAAGCACUGCCUUUCUUUGCAUCGAGACUAAGCAUUGUCUCCUCUUCUUGAAUAAGGCUAAGCUUAUUUCCUUUCAUGAGACUAAGCACUAUCUCCUAAUUGCAUGACACUAAGUACUGUCUCCCUUUCUCGCAUGAGGAUAACCCCUGCCUCCUCAACUACAUAAGGCUAAGUUAUGCUUUUCUUUACCUAAUACCAAAUGCUAUGUUACUUGAAAUCUAGCACUAUUUUGCCUUCCCAAGGCUAAGCUCUGUCUUGAUCAUAUGCAAGUCUAAGCUCUGUCUUGUUUUGCUUCUUAUAUACCCAGCAUCAUGUCAUUGCAUUUCAUGGGUUGAAACAUCACUAUUUUUAUCCAAAGGUGUCAUAUCCGAAGCAUCAUCCUCAUAGCUGGAAGAUACCAUGCCAUGUCAUGAGGAUCUCUCAAUAUUGCACAUCAUUAUUCAAAGGCAUCAUGGUUCAGAGGCACCAUUCUCAUGUCCUGAGAACAUCAUUUUAUAGUAUGCGAAUCCCUUAUCUAUGAUUCAUGGCCUGGGACGUCAUGGUCUAAAGACAUUACCCUCGCCGUUGUUUUGACCGCGGGAAGGUGAACUUUGCAAAGCACAAAUUUCCAAUCAAAGACAAUCCCCAUGGUCCAAAGGGAAUUUGCAUCAUGUUUAAAUUCUAGAAAUAAUCCAUACAUAUUUGCAUGCAUCGUGUUUUAUGUUUUGUAGGUAAUCCAGGAAGUAACCGUUCUUCAAAUGGGAGCAAUCUUCUCUCCGGUUUCUGUUCAUAACAAUCACAUUUUGCAAAUGUUUUAAUCGUAACUGACCAUCAUCAAUUCCCGCUUCUUACUCUAUGGGUAUUCAUAUACUUGCUCUAUAGCACAUCCGUUAUGUUUCAGAUUCACAUUCAUAACUCCGCAUAAAUCCGUCCGAUAAUAUCCUUCCCAAAACAACAUUUUUUUUUAAACAUACCAUUCCUAUAAUAGCUCAAUCGCUUUCGUUCAGCCUUGGAUCCAGAACUAUGCACAACUUGAUUCACGUAAUAUCAGGGAUAUAUAGGAAACUUAGGAACUAGGGUUUGGCCCCAUUGUUAAUCACAUCAUUCCUCGUUCAAUUCAGCCAAAAUUGAUCAUCAUUUUAUUUACUUGGCAAUUCUUCCAUCACUCCCGGGUAAAGAGGGGCAGCUGUUGAUACCCAAUAUUUCCUUCAUAUUUUUAAUUGUAUAUAUAUACUUUCAAAAUGGUACAUUGCAUCAUCAUUUAGCUUAUAAGCAUAUACAAUCAUUUUUCAUUAUUUUAAAAGGCUUUAAAUCGAUUUAUUUUAUAUUUUAUUAUAUAAAUACUCAAUUAUUGUCCUUGAAACUAUUUUAUGAUGAUUUAAUCAUCUAAACUUGUCAUUUUCACCUACACGAAUGUAUUAAAAUAUUUUACUACAUUUUCUAUAAUGAUAUUUGCAUUUUAGCGCUUAUUGCACAUUUUUGCAAUAAUAGUCAUAUAUAAUUACACUAUUUAUGCAAAAAAAUAAUUUUUUAUAUUUUAAUAAUAUUGAGUUAUUAUUUUCAACCAUUUUAGUGCACAAAUAAUAUUCUUUUAUUUGCUAAUUACUUUUAUUAAUUAUUUGUUGAUAAAUUAUUGGGUAUUUAAAAACUAGCAUAAAUUCUACCUAUUUUCAGAUCAAACAAUGGCCCAAAAUACCUAAUACCUAGCCCAAUUACCCCGACCCAAAGCCAAAUGACCCAUGAUAAAUACUCGUCUGUGAGUCGCUUUUAAAUAACCUGCCCCAUUUAAUUUUUUAUCCCAGCCGUUGAUCUCUCAAGAUCAACGGUCACCGUCCCUUUUCUCAUUUUUAAUUAACCUAACCUCAGAAACCCUAUCCCAUUCCAUAGAGAACCGCUGCCCUUGAACUCUUUCAACCUCCCCUUCUUUCUGCGUUAAACCCUAUCUACCGUAACCUUUAAUCCUCUCCGAUUUUGGCUUAAUAAUAAAAUCAAUCAUUGAUUCACUUACCUUAUUGAUCUUUACUCACUACUGGUUAUUUAUUUGUGGUGUUACCUAGCUGCUUGCCUAAACAUGACAAGCAAAUCUCAUCAAAAUUGAACCAAAAUCGGAUCAAAUCCUUGAUCUUUCCGCUAUUCCAUCUAUAUUCAUCCUUUGUUAUAUUAUGGGUACGAAUCUUGUGUAUUUUCUGUUGGUUAUUACUUACCCUAAAACUAGGUUUCUCAUAUUGCUUUAGAUCGAACAAAAAUUGGUUCGAUUCCCUGAUUUUAAGUGUCAUUAUGUAUAUAUUCGUCCUUAGUUUACUAUUUUCGUGUAUCUUCUGGUAAUAUUUGCUUCCCCUAAAAAAUUUGGUCUUUACCUAUUUUUCCCUAAAUCCAGUUUUUAUUAAUUUGCAUGUUAUUUUUUCCUUAUUUAUGUUUGAUUAUAAAGUGUUUCCUUUUUUACUUGUUUAAUUUGUACUACUAUAUAAACACCUUCCCAUCCCCCUUUAAGACACAUUUAAAUUGCUAUAAUCUUACUAAAAUUUAAAACUCUAUUAUGUUAUUCCUUAAUGAUCUCAUUCUAUACUUUGGUUCUUGGCCAGCUGAAAGUAAAGGCCACCAAAAUUCUGGGUUCUUGUUCUUCGUUGAUAAUCAAAAUACUGUGCAUUUCUGUUCUUUCUUGUUUUUCACUUAACUGGUGAGUUACUGGACUUCCUAGUUUCAUUCCUCUUUAUCUGUAAUUUGCAUAUGUUUUCACGCCUGGAGUUUUGCAUAAUGUGUUCUUUUGGUCUGUUUUGUGGGCAAUUCUGUUUGUUCUACUUCAAUUUUUUAGCUCUCUUUAACUUUUAACCGCACAUUGAUAGUUUAAAGCAUGCUUAAACCCGAUUUGAGUAAAUUAGGUCCAUUUCAAGCUUAUCUACCCUAUGUGUUGCAACCUAUUAAUGUUUAGGAGCUUUGCAUCUCUUUGUUGUUUAACUUUGCUAUCAAUCUUGGUACUUAAACAUGCAUUAGUUACAUGAUUCGUAUCCCUUUUAAUGGACUAGUUGAUUGUGUUCAAAAGCAUGAACGUGUAUACUAACUAUAUAGCAUAAUUAUGUCUCAUGUCCUAUUCUGAAUUCGCUAUGACGAUAUCCUGCCUAUGUAGCAUGUUUGAUCCUAUUCCUCAUUAUAAUGCAUCUAAAAUGUCUUGACUUCCUAAUAGUUGCAAUGAUCUCUUCUCAGCCUAUAUAAAUUCUGUUCCCAAUUAAAACGAUUCUUUCUUGUAAAACUAGAACCUAUACUUAGUAUAAUUUGAACCUUUUAUUUACUAUGAAUAUGUGUAUACCAAUCUUGCAAACCUGUUUUGUUAAUGUGUGACUAACUUAUGCAUUCUUCUGAAUCUUUGCUAAGACUGUUCUUAAAACCUAAAGCAUGUUCGAUUAUCUACUCUAUGUGCUCAACUUCGCUAUGCUUGUAUCCUUCAAUAUUGUCCCUCAACCUUAGUUUACUCUGUUUCACUUGUUACCUGAGCUCUUUCGAGUUCUCAUUCUUAGCCAGCGGAAAGCGAAGGCUACCUAGGUUGUAUCAUUGACCUCCCUAGUAUGAGCACUAUUCGGGGUCUAAUUGAGACCCUUGUGAACUGUAACACACUAGGACUUGAUCCUUAGUCAUUCCUUGAAUCUCCUCCAUUAACCUCCCUAGUGUGAGCAUUGCUUGGGGUCCAUUUUGAGACCCUUGUAAACUCUGACACAAUAGGGUCUAAGGUUCCUUGGCACUUUGUCCUAAAUGCACCAUCCUACCCCUUUUCAACCUACUGAAUGAGCUAGUGGGCUAGUGUACAUGGCAAGUUUCCCAAAUCUUUGAUGGCUACUGGUUUUUGGCUAUGAAGAUUAUUUUCUAGGCUAUUGUGAAACUAUGUGCACUUGAGAUUGAAGUCCUAGCAUGGAUGGUUAUUCUUUGGGCUUGCCUAAGGUCCACUAUAGCUAUUUUGUAAUUGUUUUCACUCAUUGGGUAUGUAAUAAUGUUAUAAUAACAAUUGGUGUGUUAAUAACAUUAUGAAAAUGGGUUUAUUUUUAAUAUUUGCAUGAAACAGGUAGAAAUCCUGCCUAUAGGCGUUUAAUUUGCUUGAAUAUGUUCUGCUACUGUGUGUGUUAGAUAACCUGCCAAUAGGUGUUUAAUUCGUUUAAAAUAUUCUACUUCUACAUAUUUGUUAGAUAUCAUGCCUAUUGGAAAUAAGAUGACCAAUCUUUCAAUUGUAGCAUGUUCACUAGAUCAUAGGAUUAUAUUAGUUUAUGUUCUACAAAUCUGCAUUUUAUAAAUCAUGCCUAAAGGGUAUUAAUUGGUUAACGUGUUGUUAUAAUUACUCAUUUAAGAGACAUGCCUAUAAGAGCUAAAACCAGUUUUAAUCGCUAGUUGUAGAAAUCCUACCUAUAGGAUAAUCAUACUUGCUUUUAAGUGUUAAUAUUGAACUUUCAACACUGUUUCGUUACCACUAUUAGAAUGCAUGACUAUAGGAUCAAAUUGAGUAAUUCUGAAGAUCUUCCAUGGUUAUCGUUGCCAACUACUACACCUAGAUAUCAUGUCUAUAGGUUUAAACACAUACAAUCUAUAUUUUUAGUAAUCAAUACGCAAUACCAGAUUUCCUAAAAUAUAUAGUUAUUCUGAAAGCAUGCCUCUAAAAUAGCACCUUGCAUCUGAAACUGCCCGCAUAUUCGAAUUCCAAGGUCAUGUAUCAUGUCUACAGGGCUUGAUGAGUAACUCGUCUCAAUUCUGAACUGUCAAACUUCUAAUUUGUUUGCGUGCAUUUUUUGUCUUAGUGUGGAGGCUAACUUGAUCCUUUAAUUGCUUUUACAUGAAGUCUGACUUGUUUUGUAUGUCGCCUAGUUUUUUCAUUUUAAGCAGCCUAAGUUAAGUCUAGAACCACCCAAAAUAGAGGUCCAAAUACCCCCGGGACCAAAGGCAUGGGAUGGGUAGUUCAUGUAUAAGGUGCGGCUUAAAAUCAAUUAGUGUGCCCUAGGUAACAACUUAAAGAUAGUAACCGGAUAGCAAGAAUUAUAGUAUGUGCCUGCUAAAUAAUACGAGUAACGCCCCGUCUUGAGGGAGCUAGGAAGUAUUAUUUAUGUUGCACGGGAUGAUCGUUUAGGAUAAAAAACAUAGGACCCCCUCCCAUCUUGUCUUAAAAUCAAUUAUUUUGUUUAUUGGUAGAUUUUUUAUAAUAAUUGGCCAACUCUUAUUUUUCCCUCUUGUUUUAGACUAAUUCAUAUAAUUCGAGUUUGGUCGGGACCCACAAUUGUGGACCUCGAGGAGUACCUAACACCUUCUAUUUGAGUUCAUUUGAGCACUUACCCCAUCUUUGGUGACCCAAACUUGUUAAAUUAGAGUUAUUUGCGAAUAGGUGCCCUAACACACCUCAAACCCUUUAGGUGGCAACUCCUCUCUUUUAACACCUUCCUUAAAAGAGUUGGCACGUGCCGAAAUCUGAUUUCGCGAGAAAAAGAGGCGCGACACCUGUGUAUAUUCCAACAGAAGAACAAGCAGUAGAUUUGUUGACUAAAGGACUUGGAAGUGUUCAACAUCGCCAUUUGAUCUGCAAGCUAGGUGUUUUGAACAUCUUCAUGGCACCUAGCUUGAAGGGGGUAUUGAGAUGGUUAAAGUGACAGCUGGUGACAGUUGUAUAGAUAAAGGCUUGAAGGAUGACAAAAUUAGUUAGCUAAAAGCUGUGUAUAGUAGCAAAUUAGUUAAUUAGUUAGUGUUAGAAGUUAAUUAUCUAUACACACCACAUGUAUAGUGCUACUGAUAAUAAGCCAUUGUAUUUCUAUGUAAUUGAAGAUUGUUUCCUGAAUCUUCUUCUUCUUCUUUCUUCUUCGGUUCAGUCUCAGCUUCAAUCUUCCAUCCUUUAAUGGUGGAUUUAUCAAUUUUGUUAGAACAAUCUAACAGUCAAGAGGUUACAAUUCAAAUUGAAUGUCAUAGUUUGAUUCUAAAGGCUCACGUAUUUGGAUGUAUGCAGCGUAUAAUCUACAAUUUGUGAAUAUGGUGGAUUCAAAUUUGACAAAUUUUACUUUCAAUACCAUCUUGGACUACAUAAGAUCAUUUUAUCCAAUCUAAGAUUUGUUUUAUUAUCAUAUGUUUAGCAUAACUUAUUUUGUGUUUUCACUAGUUAUCAUGACUAAUUAGAAAUUACAUUUACCAUAAAUUAUCAGUUCUAAACAUCUCAAAUAAAGAACGAAUAGAAAAGUUAAAACGAAGACACUAAGAUAUGAUAUUAACGAAUAAUAAAUCUUGUCUUCCUCGUUUUAACACUUGGGGCAAGUUACACACUUAACAUGCUUGUGUUAGGAUCGAAUGUUAGAUAGUUUUAGGGUUGAAAUAAUUAGGUGACAUACGGAAGCUAACAAAUCAAAUUUCGAAUGACGAUAAAUCAGAAAAUAAAAGAGAAAUAUAUCAAAAGAAAUAUAAAUAUUUAACAUGGUUCAAUCAAUUGGCCUACAUUCACAAACAGAGAUGAACAAUCCACUAUAUUAAGAGCUACAAAAUAUCGAAAGAACAACCUCACAAAGAGGCACGCACAAGUAGCAAGCUAACACUUGUUUCACAAAUUCUCUCCCCAAACAAAACUCUCAAAUGCCUUAAGGCUACAUUUGUGGAUGCUACGGAAUAAGAAGGAAGGAUCCUUAAUUUAUAGAAGUCAAAAUAUUUUUCUCUAAAAAAAGACUAGUCAAAUAUAAAAUAUUAUAUUUUUAUUUUCGUAAAAAGAAAAAAAUAAUUAGAAUAAAUAUAUUGUUCUUCCUUCAAGAUUAAGCUGGGUGGAUCUUUUCAAAAUCAUUAUUUUUAUGUUGACCCGUUAAAUUUUUCUUGAGAAAAUUCUAAGGACCGUCAGAAUCUUCCGCCGAUAUGCUAAAAAAAUAUUGCGUGAUUUGUCAACUACAUAAUUGCUGAAAUUCUGCCUAGUGCGGCAAUCAAGGAAAAUCCUGCCCAACGUGUUUUAAAGUUCUAUUAUGGGGCUUUUUUCUCAAAAAUUCUGUUAUUGAGGUCAAAAAAUCAAUAUUGACCAAAAAGUAUCCUACUUUUGUCAUUCUCCCGAAUAUAAAGUUGGUUGGUCCAAGUGAAGGUUAGUUUUGAAGAUUGAUAAAGGAAGCGCAGGUAUGGAUCAUGUCCAUCACUUGGGUGCAUCAAAACGGACAAAUUCGAACAUGUGGGAUGCAUGUCAAUGAGAUAAGAUUAACUUGAUAUAUCUCUUAAUAAAAAAGGUUGCAUACUUGAUAAGGAGAAGGACUUCAUAUUCAAAGAGAAUAUUAUCCAAUAUAGGAAAGGAGUUAGAAGUUGAGAUCAACUAGAACUCUUCCACCAAGGAAGAGUAGCAUUAGAUCUCUAGCUGUUUUUUAUUCUACUGACUCUAUAAAUCGUAGAAUGUUCCAUUUUACAGGCAUGCACAUAUGCAGAAGUUUAACAGGAAUUGAGAGCAAAAUAGCAAGACAUUUUGCAAGCAGUUCGUGUAAUUCAAGUGUGCAAAGCUGAAGCUACAUGGAGCAGAUAGAGGAACCAGUUCCAAUUGUCUAUCUUUUAUUCUAGUUCAAUUGUCGUAUGUAAUUGUUUGCAACAACGGGAUUAGAGUUAAUCCUAGGUUUACAAAAUUAUUUUGUAAAUGUAGUUUUUGGUUCAUUGUUUUACUGGAGAAUUUGGAAAAAUCCUACUGGGAAGUAGGUCGCAAUUUUUUUUAUCUAUUGAGCCAAGUAUUUUUUACGUAAAAUACUUGUGUUCUUUACUUUCUGCAUUUACUAUUCCACAACAGUAGUAUAAGGAACACAUAGAAGAAUUUAGUCCUUCUAUAAUAUGUGCACGGGAAAAAUUAGACACUGCACAAAUCACCUCAUCUUGUGUGGUAUUUAAGUAUAAAAUAUUAUUUGAUAACAGAGCAGGUUAUCCUUGAAGAGGCUAACACCUUCGGAAAAGAUCAAGAUAAGUGCACCACCUGAAAAUUGGGAAGAACAAUCCACUGCUAGGGCACCGCUCUUGAAUGGAAAAUACUAUUUAUGGUGGGAAAACAGAAUGAGAUACCACAUCAUAAAAAGACUAUGAGCUAUGAGAUAUUUUUACUAAUGGUCCCCUGGCUACCAAGAAGAAAAAUGCUGAAGGAGUAGAUGUGCCAAAAACAAGAGCUGACUACACUGUUGAAAAUUUGAGGAAAUUGGAAAGAAAGCCAAUGCCAAGAAAUGGCUUGUGCAUGGACUUGGACCAGACAAGUACAACAUAAUUCAAAGUUGCAAUACUACUAAGAAAAUUUGGGACACUCUACAAGUGGCUCAUGAAGGAAUACAUCAUGUGAAGAGGUCUAGAGGAACUUUACUAUAUUCUCAAUAUGAGAAUUUUACUAUGAAGGAAGGAGAAACCAUACAAGAGAUGUAUACAAGGUUCACCACACUAACAAAUGAACUUAAGGCUCUUGGAAGGGUUAUUCUUGAAGAAGACAAAGUUGAGAAAUUUUGAAAAGGGUUAUGCCAGUCUCUUGGGAGAGCAACAUCACUGCCAUUCUGGAAUAAAAGAACAUAUCCACUCUUAAGUUGGACGAGCUAAUUGGAAAUCUCAUUUCUUAUGAACUUAGAAGGCAAACCAUGAAGAUGGAUGCACCCAAAAAGGAAAGGAGCAUGGCACUCCGAAUCACUGAAGGUGCCGAUCUAGAAGAGGAUGAAAUGACUAUGAUCACAAACAACUUCAAGAAGUACCUAAUGAGAGGAAAAGGUUCAUUAAGAGGUGGAAACUACAGCAAACCAAUGAUUCCUGAAAAACAGACCAAUGAGGGAUGCUACAAGUGUGGGAAGACUGAUCACCAUAUCAAAAAUUGUCCUUAAUGGGAAAUUGAAGGGAAGAAGAAAAGAGAUGAGCGAAGAAACAGAACGAAGGAAUAGGUUCAUCCCAAGAAGAACAAAGGAUCAAUAAAGUCUAUGGUUUUUUCUUGGGGCGAAAGCUCAGAUGAGGACUCAGAUAAUGAAGAUAGAGAUGAACAAGCACUUAUAGAAAUUCGAGAAUCUGAUGAGGAAUCCGAUGUAAGUAUAAUCCAUCUCAAAGACAAGAUUAAGUUUUUGUCUAAUGAAAAUCUAUCUAAGUUACUUUUAGAUUUCAUUGAUGAAUCCAAGGAUAUAAACAAUAAAAAGGAACAGUUGUCUAAGAAAUGUAUGAUUUUAAAAGCUAAGUGUAAGAACCUGGAACUUAGAGUUAGUGAGACUGUAAGUGAAAAUACUGCACUAAAGAACCGGGUUCAUGAAUUUGGAUAAAAUUUCCUAGAACAUAGAUCUAAAAACCUAAAACUAAAAUUAGGAACAAGUAAGACGAUAGCUGAUUGCACACAACUCACUCUAGAAUAAAAUGUAGGUAAACUAAAAGAUGAAUUGUAUAAGAAGGAUAAGCAUAAGAAUUUUGACAGAGGAUCUAGGCAAAGUUAAGCACGAGCUUGACAGAACCUGUAAAUAGAAUAGGUCCUCCGAUGCACUUUCAUGGCUACAUGAACACCAUAGUAGCAACAAGAGAGGACUUGGCUAUGGGAACUCUGCACCUAAGUGGGAUCCCAAAAGCAAGUAUCUAACACUUCUGAAAACAAAAUUUGGACACACUGUGGUAAAAUUGGUCACUACAAAAGUGAAUCCAGUCAAAAGAAUAAAAUAUUUGUUCAAGGGGAAAAUAGACUGCUAGGUCGGGCCAAAAUGAAUCUGAUUCACCCUUGUGCCUAUAGAAAGGGACCCAAACUAGUUUGGGUUCCUAAGACUAACCCCUGAUUUCCUUUUGCUGGUCCAAGUGAAGGGGAGUAACCAAAUAUGGUAUAUGGAGAGUGGCUGCUCAAAGCACGUGACAAGAAGCAAGAAUCAAUUCCUUCACUUGAGGACCUCAAAUAAUGUCUCCUUUGGAAAUGGAAAGAAAUAUGAGAUAAUUAGGGUUGGAAAGGUAGGUAAGAUAAAUUCUCACUCUAUUGAGAAUGCCUACUUGAUAGAUGACUUAAUAUACAAUCUAUCAGUGUAUCACAACUGUGUGAUGUUGGUAUCUUGGUAGCAUUCACCUCUACCAAAUAUUUUGUGAUAAAUCUUACCACUAACAAGAUUGUUUUGUAGGGAAAAAGGUAAACAAUAUUUAAAUUGUAGAUCUGUCCAUACUCUCAGAAAAUGAAGUCACUUACUUAAGUAUACUGGACAAUGAUCCCCUACUUUGGCAUAAGAGACUUGGACAUGCAAGUCUGAGUCAACUCAACAAAUUAGUCUUCAAGGACCUGGUGACAGAGCUUCCUAACAUCAAGUUUAAGAAAGACAAAUUUUGUGAGGCUUGUGCAAGGAGGAAGCUGUAAGAUCCUCUUUUAAAUGCAAGAAAGUGGUAAGCACCACCAGAACGAUGGAACUGGUCCAUAUGGAUCUUUGUGGUCCAUUGAGAACAUUAAGCAGAUGUGGUAAAAGAAAAGUGAUUGUGCUUGUUGAUGACUACUCUAGGUUUACCUGGGCAUUAUUUUUAACAUCUAAAGAUGAAGCAUUUGACAUGUUUACUUAUUUUGUUAGAAAAACUUAGAGACAACUAGGUAAUCAACUUGCAUCAACUAGUUCUGAUCAUAGAACUGAAUUUGAAAAUGCUAAGUUUUUUGAAUUUAGUGAUGUGCAUGGCAUAUAUCAUAAUUUUUCUGUUCCUAGGACUCCACAACAAAAUGGAGUAGUUGAAAGAAGGAAUAAGACACUUGAAGAUAUGGCUAAGACUAUGCUUCAUUCUAGUAAACAACCCCAAAGCUUCUGGGCGGAAGCUAUAAAUACUGCAUUCUACAUCAUCAAUAGGUGCAUGACUAGACCUCUUGUAGAGAAGACCCCCUACGAGUUACUUAAAGGGAGAAAACCAAAUAUAUCCUAUAUUAGGGCAUUUGGAUGCAAGUGCUUUGUGUACAACAAUGGUAAAAACUCCCUAGGUAAGUUUGAUCCCAUAAGUUAUGAGGGAGUAUUCUUCACAUAGUAAAGCUUCUAAGGUAUAUAACAAAAGAACUAUGUGUGUAGAAGAAAGUAUACGUAUGAGUUUUGAUGAAACUAAUAUUAUUUUUUACAGACAGGAAAAUGAAGACGAAGCAAUUGGGUUGGUAAGAAAUUUAAAUUAAAUCACAGCCUAGGUUGAAGUUACACCAUAAGAAGGAACAGGUGAUGAAACAUGUUCUUCUAUUCAGGGCAACCCGACAUGGGGAACUAAACAAAUAGGAACUGAAUCUCAUACCUUGAUGAAACCUGUCCAUGAACAUGUUUCUCAACAACAAAACACUGAAGAAACAUCAAGAGGAAACCAUUUGGUUGUGAAACCUUACAAGUACCAAAGUCCUCAUCCCAUUGAGAACAUAAUUACUCAUCCAACCUCUGGAUUAAAACCGGAUCUUCAUUAAAGAAUCGUUGUGCUUUUGAUGCUUUCUUAUCUAUUAUUGAACUUAAAAAUGUUGGCGAGGCUUUGCAGGAUGCAUACUGGAUAAAUGCAAUGCAAGAUCAACUCAACCAGUUUGAAAGGAGUCAAGUUUGGCAUAUGGUACCAAGACCCAAUGAUAGAUUAGUAAUUGGCACAAAAUGGGUCUUUAGAAACAAACUUAAUAAAGAUGGAACAGUUAUAAUGAACAAGGCAAGAUUGGUGUUCAUGGAUAUUACCAAGAUGUGGCCAUAGACUAUGAUGAGACCUUUGAUCCAAUUGCAAGAUUGGAAGCAAAGACUCCUCAUAGUCUUUGCUGCUUACAUGGAAUUGACUCUUCACGAUAUGGACGUCAAGAGUGCCUUCCUUAAUGGUUGUUUAAAGGAAGAAGUGUUUGUCAACCUCCAGGGUUUGAAAGCAAGGAGUUUCCUGAUCAUGUAUACAAACUUUACAAGGAACUCUAUGGGUUCAAGUUGGCUCCUAGAGCAUGGUAUGAAAGAUUAUUGAAAUUCCUGGUUGAGCGUGGCUACAAGUGAGGUAAUAUUAAUAACACUUUAUUCUUGAAGGAAAAAGAUAAAAACCUUCUAGUAGUGCAGAUAUAUGUUGAUGAUAUAAUCUUUGGAGAAACUACUAAUAAUCUAAGUAAGGAAUGGCUAAGCAAAUAGGGAGUGAAUUUGAAAUGAGUAUGAUGGGUGAGCUUAAUUUCUUUUUAGGCUUACAAAUUAAACAAAUCUCAAAUGGAGCUAUGGUCCAUUAGCAAAAAUAUGUGAAAGAGUUGCAUAAAAGGUUUAAAAUGGAAGAAUCAAAAGAAAUCGAUACUCCUAUAGCAAUAACCAAAAAUUGGAUAUAUAUGAACCCGGUUCAUCUGUUGAUUAAAAGUUGUAUAGGGGACUGAUUGGUUCUCUUUUAUAGCUCACUACUAGUAGACCUAACAUUGUUUUCAGUGUAGUUCUUUUUGCUCGAUUUAAGGCAAAUCCAAAGGAGUCUCACUUGACUGCUGUCAAGAGAAUAUUGAGAUACUUGAAAAGCACCACUGACCUUUAUAUUUGGUAUCCAAAAGGUAGUAAUUUUAACCUCUGAGAUAUGAUGACGCUGAUUAUGCAAGUUUUCUUGUGGAUAGGAAGAGCACCUCCGGUAUGGCACACUUUCUUGAUUCAUGUCUUGUGUCAUGGGCUAACAAAAAGCAAAAUUCAAUUGCCUUGUCUACUGUUGAAGCUGAGUAUGUUGUUGCCGCUUUAUGUUAUGCUCAAUUGUUGUAGAUCAAACAACAACUAUUGGUCUUUGGAAUUGAUGUUGGUUUCAUUCCCAUAUUUUAUGAUAAUACUAGUGCCAUUAGUAUGAAAAAUAACCCACUUCAUCAUAAGAGAACUAAGCCCAUGGAUGUUAGGCACCAUUUUUUAGGGACAAACUAUGAGAAAGGCUUGAUCACUGAGGAGUUUUGUGCUACUGACAAGCAAAUUGCUGACAUCUUCACAAAAGCUUUAAGUAGAGAUCACUUUGAAAGUAACAUGUUGGAAUUAUGUAUGAUAAAGAUCACCUAAAAGGUCCAGUUCAAGAUUAAACGAAAAAAAUAAAAAAAUUUGGUUAGAAAAUAUGUAAAACCCUAUACUUAAGUAGAUUAGAUUUUGCUCAAUCUCAUACUUUCAAUAGUAUACUCUUGUGCCAUAUGUUAACAUGACUCAUUAAUCUCUAAUGAUAUUUUCUCUAUUUUGGAAAUUUUGGACUUACACAAGAGAAUUAUCAGAGAAGACCCUGGUUCAUCAAGAUAACACGGUAUAUUUUCUACACUCUGUAUAAUAUGAAAUAAUAAUAUUUGAAUCCUGAGAAGGGUCCUACCUACGUCCAAAUUUCUCUUAAACUUAUCUAAUUAAUUUGAACCAGUUCCAUUUAAAAGAAUCCUAACCAAAUUAAAUCACCUAAAUUCUAGGGAAGACUCCACCGUCUAUUCAAAACUGACAUUUUAGCUCGAUUAGACUUCUAAAAGACCAAUGAGCCUACCAUUAGCCAUUAAUUACCCACUCUCUUUAAAUUGAUCAUCAUCAUCUCUGCCUUAUCUUCAUAAUUCUCAAACCAUCGUAAACAUUUUCCAUCUUCUCUUAUCCUCCAAAUUUCACUCUACCUUUCUUCUUUCUUCCAAGAACCAAGCACAAAAUGACUCACCCCUAUGAUAACCGUGGUACUCCCCCACCAUGCUCCUCAUCUUUAACCACUCCUCAUCCUAAGAAAAAAAGUAAAUAUUCUUGCACACAAGAAAGUAACUAGGAGGGAAUUAUCAUAGAAAUUAGAUGCUUAAUUGAAAGCUAGCCAAGCCCAAUAACCCUAGAUCUCUGAAGAAUCCAUCAAGUCUGCUACUGGGGGGAAGAAACUGGGUCUUCUGAUACUGAACAGGUAAACUUCUGAUCCAAAUACUACCACUGAGGUCAUUUUUUAAUGGGCUGAUAAUCUAGAGAAAAUAUUAAUUUUGGUUGGAUCUUUGGUGGAUGUAAAAACUUUCGAGUCCAGAAAGAGGGGUGGUAAAAAUAAAAAGGAAAAAUAAAAAGAGAGUGGGGGUGUUCGAAGUGAAGGAAGGGGAAUGGGAAAAAGAGUGGUUGAUUCUUCACCCACUUCUGAUAAAGGUAGAAUGGCUAUUUGUGGAACAGAAUCAGAUAAAGUGGAGGAAAGUGUGGGAAGUGGAUCUGGUGAAGCCGCUGAAGGGCUGGUUAACCUUGGGAAAAAAGUAGAUGAACAUGGUUCACCGAUUGGACAAACCCUCACAGACCUAUUGAAGAAAGUAGGUGACAGCUACAACCUCAAGAAGAAGAGAACUUCCUAGACCCCUUGCACUGCUAGGGAUAACAAGAAAAGGAAGACUGUCCCUUCAAACACUAUUGAAAUUCCUCCCACAAGAGGAAGAGCCACAAGAAGUAAGCUAAAAAAAAUGAGGAAGAGCUACGAGAGCCUUAGAAGAAAGCAAAAAAAAAGGGAGGGACAAAGGGAAGAAGAAGGUGGGAGAGAUUGUUGAGGCCGUUGAUGUGGAUGAGAUGGACCUUGUCUAUAAAGAUGAAGAUGUGAUUGUUGAAGUGGAGGUUCGGACUCCCAGGCCCAAGAAAGCCAAGACUUCCACUAAGAAGUCUACUUCUAUGUCAAAGUCUGGUAAAUCGUCCUUAAAAAUAGGACUAGGUCUCCAAUGAAAACCAAACAAGUAAAAAUUGUUGAAGAAGAGGAAUGGAGCGAAGAAGAGGAAGAUGAAUCAGACAGUGAAAAGGAAAAAAUGGCCAAGUUUGGCAAAAGAACUAUUUUGAAGGGUAGACUCCUCAAUGAGUUGGAAGAGGAAGGGAUGGUGCUACUGUUGAGGAAAUUAGAAGUACAAGGCUGGAAGGACAUGGUCUUUCGGAUGAUGGUAGGUUAGCCAGAGAUGAAGUUGUUAAUUUUAUGGAAAAUACUGCAGUGAAGGAUGGAAUGGUUACCAGAUUGGUGAAAGGGUGAAAAUCUCUUUCAAUAUGAAGGAGUUGGGUGAAAUUGUAGGUGUACCUGCUGAUGGGUACAAUGACUACAAAAAGCUUAAGUGGCCAAGCCUAGAAAAUCUUAUUAUUGCCCUUGCCAUCACUAGAAAAUUCAGUGUUCAUGAGGAGGAAAGUGAGCCCAAGGCUGUGCACAAAAGUACGAUGAAGCCACCCCACAAGGUGCUAUUCGAAUUCAUUAUCAAGUGUAUUCUGCCAAGGUAGGAAAGGAGGCACAUUACAAGCUUCAUGGAUUUGGUCCUGAUGGAGUGUUUGGACAAUGAGUGGCCGAUUAAUUGGUCUGGAUAUAUAAUCCAGCUUCUUAAUAGGGUUAUCAGUGGCACCAAGUCUUAUGCCAGUCCCUAUGGCUUUAUUUUCAAAGUUGUUCUUGCAUAUUUUAUGGUGCCUUUGAAGAAGUGGGAGGUGGCUAUAAGAAAAAAUCACUUUGGGGCAAAAACUUUGAUUGCUUGUGACUAUGAGGUCCAUGACACUCCUAAUGAACUUGGUUUAUCCAAGAAGGCACCGGUCAAUAGCAAGGACAGAGCCUUGGUGCAGAAAAGUGGGGCAAAGGUGUCACGCCCCGAAACUAGGCCUAGACAUAACACGACACUCGGUGCAUGACUACAUAUGACCGAGGGAACAAGCUGGCUGGAUGAAUCAACAUAUGAUAUCAUAACAUACUAAAUGCAGAAGACAAACUAACACAUGCUGAUAUACUGAAAGUUUGUAUGAUAAAAAUCAAAGUGUGGAAACACUAAUAGAAGUCUUAAAUAUGUUUGUAGAAAACAUUGAUUAACGUAAAAGGCUUGUGACUCUAUCUAACUAUUACUCUAAUAAAUGAAGCCUCUAUUUAAGUACUGAAAACACUAGCUGUCUGUAAAUACUGAAAGACUGUAAAGUAAUGAUAAUGCCCCGAAAGAACUGGGGAUCACCAAGUAGCUGGUAUGAGAAUCCUAACGCUCUAAAUCGUCAACCUAUAAAUCAGUACAUGCAUUGUGAGGUGCAGGCCCUAGGAAGAAAAGGGAAAUCAAUACAUUUGAAUUGCACCAAUUAUGUAAAGCAACUGAAAGAAAGAAUUAUAAAUGCUCAAACUAAUACGGGGCUGAUAACUGAGAAUUGAUAAAUGGUAACUGAAAUUUGAACUGUUAAAAAUCAAACUGGAAUGAUAACUGAUAGCUGAUAACUGAGAUAAUAACUGAUAACUAAUAAUUGAUGACUGAAAUUAUAGUUGACAACUGAACAGAACAAAGGAAGUAAGGAUAUGAAUACUCCCUCAUCUGAAUGAUGAUCAACAUGUUUAUCUAAGUAUUAAACUGUAGCCUUGACCCAAUAUAUAUGUGCACAAACUACAGCCUCGGACCCAACUGUACGUAUACAUAAUUGCGGCCUCAUGCCCAAAAUUUAGGUUUUCAACAUUUAGUGAUUCAAAAUCAGGAACUCAGAAUCAUACUCCAACACAUGAUACUGAAAUACUGAAUCAGACUGAUUAUAAGAUACUGGAAUACUGAAUAGAACUAGACUGGGACAUGUAUUCUUGAGCUGAUUAUGAAAACUAAAACUUUAAGUGUCUAUGACAUGCUGAGUAAUCUGUACUGAGACUCGGGUGCAUGAAACCCCAGUCCAUAUUGAAUAUGCACUGAGCUCAGAACAUUCAUAGUGGAAGUCAUGAAUGAGUUAUGAAGCUAGAGAAUAUAUGUUUUGCAACAAUUCAAGGAAUUAGGCUUAACUAUGUUUCUGAGGCAAUUAGUAACGUUGUAAAAAGAAAUGUAAUGUAGGAAGAAUCAUUUACAUACUCAAAUAUAGAGAAUUAACCUCACAUACCUCUAUUUUGCCCCUUAGUGAUACUACAAUGAUCCACAAUACUAAGAACCUUCAAUCUACAAUAGCAAUAUCUAAUGGAACCAAUAUUAGUAACAAAUUCCAUUAUUAUCAAACACCUUGUAACCAUAAAUCUCUACAUCUCAUCACUAUAUAAAUUAGUUAAUCCAACUAUCACCAUUCAUCAAUAAUUUAUCCCACCAUCAUGAUUAACCACUUUAUAACUUCCAAUAUCACAUAUAUGACCAUCCAUCCACACCUGACCAACAAAAUUCCAUCAAAUAAUUUUCUCUCAAUCUCUACAAUAGUUAUCUAAUUAAAUUGGGGACUUAUGGCUACAAAUCACCAUACCAAGAGUUCCAAUACUUAUUCAUACUCAUAUUCUCUUAACAAAUUCACACAUGUAAGUCUAAGGGUGUAGGAUUACCUUUUCUAGAAGAAAUCUUGCAAAACCUUCCUUUGAGUUCUUGAAGAAAUCUCUUGAAGAUCUAAGCAUUUUAUAUAUAGAUUUUAGCAAUACUACUAUAGAAAUGAUGGAAUCCACACCAAGACAAUAGGUAUUGCUUACCUUGAAGAUGGGAGGGGUUGGAGGUCUUGAGAGAGUGGAGGAGAAUCCUAAAAUUCAUCCAAAAAAGGGGGAAGAUGGACCCCGAAAUAGUGUAUAGGCCCAAAUUUUGGAUACAGACUUGGAUGCUUCUCAUCCUUAGUUCACUCCUCUCAGGAGCUCAGAUGCUGACCGGAUGCUAUGGAAGCACUUCACUACCAACUCCUCCGCCAGCCUUUGGUAAUCGGUCAUAACUUCUUGUAGAAAUGUCCAAAUGACGAACGAUUUGAACAGUUAGAAACUGGACUCAACGAGAAUUAAUUUAAUAAGUUGUCCAUCACAUGCACACACACACACACACACACACACACACAUAUAUAUAUAUAAGUCUUAAAUAUGUUUGUAGAANNNNNNNNNNNNNNNNNNNNNNNNNNNNNNNNNNNNNNNNNNNNNNNNNNNNNNNNNNNNNNNNNNNNNNNNNNNNNNNNNNNNNNNNNNNNNNNNNNNNNNNNNNNNNNNNNNNNNNNNNNNNNNNNNNNNNNNNNNNNNNNNNNNNNNNNNNNNNNNNNNNNNNNNNNNNNNNNNNNNNNNNNNNNNNNNNNNNNNNNNNNNNNNNNNNNNNNNNNNNNNNNNNNNNNNNNNNNNNNNNNNNNNNNNNNNNNNNNNNNNNNNNNNNNNNNNNNNNNNNNNNNNNNNNNNNNNNNNNNNNNNNNNNNNNNNNNNNNNNNNNNNNNNNNNNNNNNNNNNNNNNNNNNNNNNNNNNNNNNNNNNNNNNNNNNNNNNNNNNNNNNNNNNNNNNNNNNNNNNNNNNNNNNNNNNNNNNNNNNNNNNNNNNNNNNNNNNNNNNNNNNNNNNNNNNNNNNNNNNNNNNNNNNNNNNNNNNNNNNNNNNNNNNNNNNNNNNNNNNNNNNNNNNNNNNNNNNNNNNNNNNNNNNNNNAUUCGUGUGUGUGCGCGCGCGUGUGCUGGGGGGAUAUGUUCGUCCAAAGUGUGGUCUUGUACUUACCCAUUUGUAAUUUUAGUCUUUCAUGUAAUUUUCCAACUUGGCUUAGACUUAGGUCUCUCCUUGAACCCCAAAUCACUUAUGAUAUACCUCGUACACUUACUAUUAUAUCCAAUUGAUAACCAUCAUAUUAAUAGUCCUCGUCUGCACACGACAGAUUCAGAUUUAAGGAGUGUUACAUUACCCAUACUCAUCCCGAUAGGGCUUCACAUGUCUAAAAGAUCAUAUUAUACUCAUUUAACACAUCCACAACUAAUCCGGAUUUACUAGGUGUUACAUUAUCUCCCCUUGGGUUCAUUCAUCCUCGAAUGAUUAUUCUGGUUAUAGCUACGACUAACUCUAGAUGCUAAGCAUGACUAAUGGAAAAAUGUGAACACUGAAAUGCCAUGAACACUUUCAUUCUAAACUAAAUGAAUACACGAUUACUGAACUGAUGAGAUACUGAACUGAAUAGGUACUAGACUGACUAAACGCUGAAAGGCAUGGAGAUUGUAAAUAAGGUCUGAAUGAGAAGGUUAGUUACAUGAAACAUAAUAUGAAUACUUGGUCCACAGGCAUCAUAAUAUGCAUAACAUGAAACAUAUACAUGAAUACUUGUCUGUUAUGGAUACGUGAAUUCUGAACUAACGUAGAUAUAUGAAUACUAAACUGGCACGAAUAAUUGAGUACUGAACUGAUAUGAACAUAUGAUCACUGAACUGAGAUUAAUAUAUGAAUUCUAAGUUGGCAUGAAUAUCUGAGUAAUGGACCGACAUGCGUAUCUGAUUACUAAAUUGGCUUGGAUGUUCUAACAUGAUAUCUGAAUACUGGAAACACAAUUGUCAUGACAAAAUAUUUGAAUACUGAAAACUUGAUUUUUAUAAAGUUACACGUGAAAUACUGGUGUACAAUCGCUAAUUAUGGUAGAAAGUCUAAAUCAUAAGCUACUUACCCGCUUCAUAGGAUCCUAUAUAGGUUGAUGUAUAUCGGAUUGAGCUUUCCUUUCUUCCCAACUCUUAUAAAAUCUUUCAUAGGUGAAACUUUUAUAAACACCCAAUCCUCAACUUGAAAUUCUAGGUCUCUACGUUGCAUGUUCGAAUAGGACUUUUGGCGACUCUGAGCUAUCUUCAAAUUCUCUUGGUUGAACUUGAAUUUCUCUAUAGCUUGAGGACCAAAUUUGGUACUCUGCUUUGCCAACUUUGAACCAGUCAAUCGACGAUCUACACUUUCGCCCAUACAAAUCAUGCUUUCAUAAUGAUCAAGAUAAUCCUAUUAUAAGGUCCGUAUUUACCAUCUCCGCUAAAGAAUAUAUGUAUUCUGAGAUAAACACUUGGUUUCCUGCUGCUCGACUUUCACUUGCUAGCAAUUCAUAUACUUUGUGAUAAAUUUGGAGACGUUCUUUUUUAUGUCAUUCCACCAAUAAAUCUCCUUGAGAUUAUGAUACAUCUUCUAGGAACUUGGGUGGAUAGAAUACCUGAAAUUAUGGGCUCCUAACAUCUUCGUCCCUCACUAAGUCCAUCUAUAGUUGGAACAUACAGUCUGUCGCGGUACCUCAAAGUACUAUCAUCGCCCCUUGUUUAAAAGCCAUCAUCUUAUGCCUGUGAAUCCCCCCUUUCAGCUAUAACAAGUAGGGAUCUUGAAACUAUUUCUCUUUCACUUCGGCUAAUAAGGAGGAACAAGUCAUAUUCUAGACAACAACUCCACUAUCUUUGAAGUACACAAAUUGAACUCCUAGAUGGGUAAGCAGUGAACUUCUUUCACCUGAGUUCUCUUAUCCACAUCAAUCAUGAAUUAUACUUCCCACACUUUAUUAUCUUCUUAAGCACUUUCUAAAAACACUUAUAGUAUUAUUGUGAACUAAGUCUUUGACCUGUACUUGAAAUGUUAGAGCCUCGUGCAAUGGCACUACCCCCAUAAUACGUAAAUGGCCAUGAUUUUAUGGCUUUUCUGUGAUCAUUUAUCAUCAAUAACUGAGCUUGGUGAUCAGUCUACUCACUUUGUGUUUCUUACACAUGCUAGAUAUAUUCUUCGUGGUAAUUAUAUAAUUUUUCCUCAUUACCGUUAAUGACGACUCAUCUUCCAACUUACUUUAGAGAAAUCUUUCUUACUAGGAAAUACUAUAUUAUUCAUAUAAUGAAAAGCUAAUGUAUUCAACAACUAUCAUACACAAUCUUAAUAAUUUAACUUUUCUCACAGUGUCAAUCUUGGGGAAACCACAUUCAAUAAUUCCGUAAGGCUAUUCUUUUGUAGUUUGCUCUCUUAUUGCUAGUUGAUUUUUCUCCCACUGCCAGUGUACUUCAGGUUUAACUUAAACUCUUCGGAUUCUAACAUGCGUUCAGUGUUUCAAACUGUUAUCCGCUCACUAGUGUUUACAAUACUAUGUAAAUCAAAUAAUACAUCUACUAGCUCUGCUGAAAUUGCAAAUUUGUUGUACCUACUCAAAACUGCUAUCCUUUUGUACUAACCACCUGCUAGCAUCAUAUUUUAAUUCUCCUACUUGAAUAACUAAAGUGAAGCAUAAGGUUAUUCCUAACUUCCCUCACCAUCUGACCCUAUUCUAUGGUUGCACACUAUCUUUAUUUUGUACUAUGAACAUGGAUCACACUUAGGGAAAUUUCAUCUAUAUUAAACAAAAUUGGAAUAUCUAACUCCAAAAUUUCUAUACACUUCAAAAUCAUACCAAACUAUAAACGUUUGGGGUAAACACUUAGCCACGUAACCUAAGGGGACAUCAUAUCCUCUAUCUCACAAUAAUACCUACUUCUUGUAGUAACUUACUAAGGUGGUAUUUUCUAUAUGAAUAAAUCUGGACAACUUAAAAUCAUUCCCUAAAAUUUAAUAUCGGGUGCUGUUGAUUCUCAUUUCAUACAUUAUGUCUUCUUAGUCAUAUGCAUGAGACAUAUGAAAAAUACAUCUCUGGUAAUAUCAAACAUUUCUGACUGCUAGGAAUUUUGCCCUUAGUCUUUUUUGUUUCCAAAACUAUAAUGACUGAUUAUAGGCCAUUUCCGAUCAAAUUCUUAACUUGCUACACUGUAUGGUCUGAAAUCUAAAUUAUCGUCAUCCAACUUGUGGCUCAAUUUCUAUGAAUUAAAAAUGAAUUUGUUCUUGUGAGGUAAAAACGCACACGGAUACACUACCAUACAACAUGUCCUUCAGAGAUACCAUCAUCUUAUAACUCACAUCCUUCACAAUCUGGUGAGUUUUGGUCUUAAUUCAAACCUAAAACAUGUACAAUUUUGCUAUAAUCAUUGUUCUUACAUUUUCUUUUAGCAGCCAUAGGCACCACCAUAUACUCCCAAGUCAGCAGAGGUUGGAUACAAUGAAAAUUGAAGAUAUGGUAACUUAAUAACAAAUAACUAGCAUACUGAAUAACCACAAACCCGCUAACUGAAAGAAUGUAUAACUAGUAAAUAAGGUAAGUUGAUAACCAUAAGACAUGAGAACUGCUUUCAUACUUUCUAAUAAGGUUAUGUAUAUGUACUACUAUACAUUGUAUCCUAUUUUCAACAUCCUCUCAAGUCUCACUUUUUACCAAAAUGUACUGAAUAACUAUACCCCAAUAGGUGAUAAUCCUCUUUAGCACCUUAGGUAUUCCUACCCAUGGGCAUUCGAUACGUCUUGAAUUCGAUAGGAAUAGAAGCUUACCUAUUGCUCUAAGUAUCAUGGCACGAUCUAAAGUAGAAAGAAAUGAGACAAUCUUGAAUAUCUUGGUAGUUAACAAUUUAUAUGCAUAGCCGGCACACACAUAUAAAGGAAACUCCAGUAGACACGACUUCAUAGACUCCAUAAGACACUUGAACCUAAUGCUCUGAUACCACGCUUUGUCAUGCCCUGAACUAGGGCCUGGAUGUAACACGACAUUCGGUACCUGAGUACAUGUGAUCGAGCAAACCAACUAGCUGGCUGAAUCAACAUGUGAUAUCAUAGCAUACUAAAUGUGAAAGAUAAACAAACACAUGCUGGUAUAUUGAGAGUUUGAAUGACAAAAAUCAAAGUGUGGAAACACUAAUACAAGUUUGAAACAUGUCUAUAGAAAACAUUUCUUAACACAAAAAGCUUGUGACACUAUCUAACUAUUGCUCUAGUCAAUGAAGCCUCUAUUUGAGUACUAAAACAGUGACUGUCUGUAAAUACUGAAAGAUUGUAAAGUAAUUAUAAUGCCCCGAAAAAACUGGGGAUCCCCAAAUAGCUGGUAUGAGAAUCCUAGCGCUCUAAAUCGUCAACAUAUAAAUCAAUACUUGCAUUAUGAGGUACAAGUCCUAGGCAAAAAAGGUACAUAAGUACAUUUGAAUUGCACUGAUAUGUAAAGCAACUGAAAGAAAGAAUUAUAAAUACUCAAACUAAUACUAAGCUGAUAAUUGAUAACUAAAAUUAUAACUAUUAAAACUCAAACUGAAAUGAUAAUUGAUAGCUAAUAACUGAUAUAAUAACGGAUAACUGAGUUGAACAAAGGAAGUAAGGAUAUGAAUACUCCCUCUUCUGAAUGAUGAACAACAUGUUUAUCUGAAUAUUAAAUUGCAUCCUUACACUCCUCCGCCAGCCUUUGGUAAUUUUGUCAUAACUUCUUGUAGGAAUGUCCAAAUGACGAACUGUUUGAAGCGUCAGAAAUUAGACUCAAAAAAAUUUAAUUUAAUAUGUUGUGCAUCAAAUAAAACCUUAUAUAUAUGUGGAUAUGCUCGUCCAAAGUGUGAUCUUGUGCUUACCCAUUUGAAAAUUUGUCUUUUAUAUAAUUUUCCAACUUGGCGUAGACUUAAGUCUCUCCUUGGACCCCAAAUCACUUAUGAUAUACUUCGUACACUUAUUAUCAUAUUCAAUUGAUAACCAUCAUAUUAAUAGUCCUCAUCCGCACACGACUGAUUUAGAUUUAAGGAGUGUUACAUUACCCAUACUCAUCCUGAUUGGGCUUCACAUGUCUAAAAGAUCACUUUUAUACUCAUUUAUCACAUCUACAACUAAUUCGGAUUUACGGGGUAUUAAAAAAAGAUGUUGAGAUAGCAAGGCUGAAGAUAUGGUUGGCUGAGGUAGAGUCUGAGAGAGAUGCUCUCUGAAUUGAAUGUAAGGGAAACAGAGAAGAAUGAUGAAAUUCUUCAAGACAUGUUGAAACUUCUCCAAGCCAAAAACCAAACCCCUAGUUCUUCCAAGCCUUAAACUUUCUAGUCUAGUGUAGAUCAACCAGUGACCCAGUUCGGGACUUUUUAUUUAUUUUUCUCAUAUUUUAAGUAUUUUUAUGUCUUCUUAUGCUUUAUGGUAGAAUCUUAUCAAUCAUCAAUGAAAUUCACUAUUUUUGCUCUAACUAUUUGUUUAUAUUUCUUUGAUGGUUGAAAUUCUUAGCUUGGUCUCUGAUGAUUAAUCCAUGUCUGCAUUUGAAGUAGUCUAGUGGCCAUGAGUAAGUUUAAAAUCUAGUUAUCUCACAUUUUUUAUGCAACUUUUCAAUGAUACCAAAUGGGGGAAAAGGUUGUAAUUUAUACUUUGAACAAUGAUGUUUAUAACCUAAUGAACUUGAUCCUUGAUAAGUGAUAAAAAAGAAAAAUAUUUCUAUAUUGUGUUGAUGUUGAUCUAAGUUGAAACAUGGCCUAAGCUUAUGAUAAAACAUAGAGUUUGUCAUCAUCAAAAAGGAAAAAUUUAUUGGCCCAAGUGAAGGUUAGUUUUGAAGAUUGACAAAGGAAGCUCAGGCAUGAACCGGGUUCAUCCCUUGGGUACAUGGAACCGGGCAGAUUCGAGCAUGUGGGAUGCACAUGAACGAGAUAAGCUUAACUUGGUAUAUUUGAUAUUUCUUGAUUGAAAAGAUUGCAUAAUUGAUAAGGAGAAGGAUCCCUUACUCAAAGAGAACAUUAUCCAAGAUAGAGAAGAAGUUAGAAGUUGAGAUCAACUAGAACUCUUCCACCAAGGAAGAGUAGCAUUAGAACUCUAGUUGCUUUUUAUUCUACUUACUCUAUAAAUAGUAGAAUAUUCUCAUUUUAAAGGCAUGCACAAACGCAUAAGUUAAACAAGAAUUGAGAGCAAAAUAACAAACCACUGUGGAAGCAGUUCGUGUGUGAUUCAAGUGUGCAAAUCUGAAGCUACAUGAAUCAGAAAGAACAACCAAUUUCAAGUGUCUGUCUUUUAUUCUAGUUCAAUUGUAGUAGGUAUUUUCAUAUUGUACCUUUCANNNNNNNNNNNNNNNNNNNNNNNNNNNNNNNNNNNNNNNNNNNNNNNNNNNNNNNNNNNNNNNNNNNNNNNNNNNNNNNNNNNNNNNNNNNNNNNNNNNNNNNNNNNNNNNNNNNNNNNNNNNNNNNNNNNNNNNNNNNNNNNNNNNNNNNNNNNNNNNNNNNNNNNNNNNNNNNNNNNNNNNNNNNNNNNNNNNNACGCAAUUGUAAUAGGUACUCAGAGUAUUCAAGUUAGAGUUAACUUGAAGUUGUCGCAAUAGUUAGAGGUUGUUUGCCAUAAUGGAAUUAGAGUUAUUCCUAGGUUUACAAAAGUAUUUUGUAAAUGUAGUAUUUGGCUUAGUAAUUUAGUGGAGAGUUUGGGAAAAUCCUACUGGGAAGUAGGUCGUGAUUUUUUCACCUUUUGAGGCAGGUGUUUUUCACGUAAAAAUACUUGUGUUUUUUUAGUUUUUGCAGUUACUAUUCCACAAUAGUAGUAUAAGGAACACAUAGAAAAACCAAAUCCUUCUAUAAUCUGUGCAUGCGAAAAAUUGAAUACCACACAAAUUAUUCCCUCUUGUGUGGUAUCGAUGUAUAAAACAUCAAACUUAAAUGCGAGUAAGAUAUUGCAACCAAACACCCACAAUGAAUGUGGAACUUAUUACCAAGAUUAUUUUCAACAGUACAUGCAACGAAACAACCUCAUUAUACUUGCAUCAGACGAUACUUAGUCUUAUUUUAUCGAGCAUGGCUCUCUAUUUUAUCAACAAAUAAAGUCUUAUUUUAUAGAGCAUGGCUCUCUAUUUUAUCAAAUAACUUGAGAAAUGCAAGUGCAGCAUCUCUUGCCUUUUCUGGUGCAGGCAUUGUUGGUACAAGUGGCUCAUACUCUGCUUGCCAUUCUGCUACACACUGCUUAUCGUUGUCUCGAGCAGGAAUGAAAGAGAAGGUAACUAUAUAUGGAUUAUACAUGUUACUUAGAUCACCAUCAGUUACUUGGUAUGUCACUGACCUCCCUUGUUCCACCUUCUCUAUCUUUUCAAUUGACUGUUUGACAUAGCUGCUCAAUGCUGCGUAAAGAGAACCAUGAAUGAAUAUCUAUAGUCAAACCUCUCUAUAAUAACCUUAUUUGUUCCGGUUAUUUUGACUGUUAUAGCGAAGUGAUGGUAUACGUAGAGAAUAUAUAUAUUAUAAUAUAGCAUAAAACUUAAUUUCAUAAAAAAUUUAACUAUUAUAGUGAAUGCUUGUUAUUGAUGCUGCUAUAGCGAGAUCUAACUGUAAUUGCAUGUGUUUGUCUGAAGCUUCUUAUCAAGUUGAUUGCAAUUUGGAGGGUAAGUUGAUUCUCUCGUGAUUGUGAUCAAGGUGGAGCUACAAGGACAGAAAGGAUUCAUCCGAUACCCCUUCGCCGAAACUUACAAUAUGUAUAAUGAGGUUAUAGUUUUUUUAUGUUUAUAUAGUAUAGACCUUCUUGGUGAAAAUUCUGUCCCUCGCUGCUGGUUAUGACAUCAUUAUCGAGGAUAGGGUGAAGUUAUGAUUGGCCAAGGGUGGUCAACUGAAUACUCUUUGUCGAACAAUUAUAUUAUGUAUAUGAUAAAAUAUUGUUUGUUACUGAUAAAAAAUAGAUUUAGAACGCUCUUGGAUAACUUGCAGACAAAGAAUAUUCAAACUUUGAACACCCUUCUCGGAAAGCAAAGUAAAUAAAGUCUUAGUUUAAGUUUUUUGGACACUGAUGAUGUAAUAAUAUUUUACAUAAUCAGUUCAUUUAAAAAGGUUACUGCAAUAAGAAUGAACUAGCGACCUAGAAUAAAUACUAAAAUAACUUGCUAUUAUAGGUUAAGAUAAAUUAUACACAUAGCAAAAAUAUUUUCAUUAUUAGCGUAAAACAACUUAAAAGUUAAAUCCAAACUACAACAUGUUAAAAUACAUAUAUAGUAGUAAUAAGUUAAUGUAAGUGCUCUUAAACCUUGCUAGCUCAUAGUCCCUCUUUCUUUUUUUCCCUCCCCUUUUCCCUUUUGUAUGAGGCAAACCAAACAACUUAAUAAAUUAAAGAGAGAAUACAUAUUACUCAACUAUGGCUAAUUCUAAAACAUUGCAUACAUGAGAGACGUGUUGAUGCAAACAUCGGGUGCGAGUAAAUUAUUUUUCGAAAUGUUCUAUUAAAAUUGAUGGCAAUGGAGGGAACAUAAGACUCACCAGGGCCACGCCUGAGACUUCCAGGCUGUCCUUCCCCUUGAAUGUAUUCGGCCAUAGCAAGCUUUUCUGGAUUUAUUCUGCUAAUUUUAUCAUUAUCUCUGUACAUUUCCCAUGCUUUUUCUGCAGGGAUAUUAAGCACAAUUUCACCUUUCGUUGCUUUCAUCUCUCUCCACAACUCUCUUUCUCUCUCGGCCUAUCUACAUAAGCAUGAGAUUGCUACAAAAACUUUAUUAUAUACUUCAAAUAAACAAUAUUUUAUUGAGAAGAGAAAUUAAAGCAAUUAAAAAGAGCUCAAAAGUUUUGCAUUCUUUGCCCAGAAUCUUUACACUUGGUGUCCAUCAAGUAUAUCUUGCAUCACUUACCCAAUAAAAUACGAAGAGAAAAGAACAACUAUUCUUUUCCUUUUUCUUUUCUAUGGCUUUAAUAGUCAUAUGCACCAAAUCAUGAUUCUGGACUACCUUUAUUUAAAUUUGAAUAGUUAAUAGGCAACUAUUACAAGAUAACAUUGCAACCAGAGGCGGAUUCGGGAUUUAAUUUCUGUGGGUUCAGUUUUUAAGGUUUUUAGCAUUGAACUCAUUAUAUUUUUAAAAUUAUGGAUUCAUAUCUACUAUUUUUGCAAUUCUAAUGAAAUUUUGCGCAUAAAUAUUUACUCCGCGUCCAAAAAUUAUGAAUUCAAUUGAAUCUGUUGCUAACAAGCAACAUCUGCCCUUGAAUGCAACAUACCACCAAGGGAGCGGUACGAUGGUUGGAUCUCUCCACCUUUCAUCAUAAGUGUCUGGUUCGAGCCAUGAGAAUUAAAAAUCAUUCUUGGUAAAAAGCACUUUACCCCCGAUUAGGACUACUCGACACAAAUCUAAGUUAAUCGAGUUAUUGAGUUUUUAAUUCAAAUAUCGCAUGUCUAAAGCAAGGGGAAAAACAUCGCAACAUAUAUUCGAUCGAGCCGUGGAAACAACCAUUAACGCUUGCAGUAGAGUAGGUUGGUUACAUAAUAUCCCUUGGGUGAGUCUUUCCGCGGACCUUGCGUGAAAUCCGGAUGCUUUGUGCACCGAUUUUGUCCUUAUAUAUUCUAUAUAUCUGAUGCAGGACACCACAGACCAAGAGAUUAUGAUGGAUUUACUAGAAAAUUUUCUGAAUUUAAGGGAGAUCAUCCUAGUAUGAAUUCAGCAACCAAUGUACUAAAAACAUAAGGCAGUUAUUUUUCUUUCAUUUGUUACGCCUCCACAGAGUUUAUACUUUAACGUGAUCCAUUUCUUCAGUAGCUAUAAAAGAAUGUCCCAUAUAAGUUAUAUACUCAGAUGUCCUUAAGAAUUUAUUCCCCAAAAAGUUACUUUUUUAACAACUUUAAAAAAGCAGCCUGAUGUAUUAAGCUCCCGCUAUGCGCGAGGUCCGGAGAAGGAUUGGACCAUAAGGAUCUAUUGUACGUAGUCUUAUCCUACAUUUCCGCAAGAAGCUAUUUCCAUGUCUCGACUCCGUGACCUCUGAUCACACGGCAGCAACUUUACCAAUUACGCCAAGGUUCCCCUUCUUCUAACAGCUUUAACAACAUAAAUCAUAUCCAGGGGAUAGAGAAAGGAGAGUGAGAAGAGAUAAUAAGCAUCUUGAUUCAAUGGCGAACGACAAAAUGAAUUGCUCUCUAGAAAGUGAAAAACAACAGCUAGGAAUGUACAAAUUGCGAGACUUGUCCCUGGAUUGCCGAAGAAUACGAGGCAACAUGAAGCCAUUUAGGCGAUUAUCAAUCGGCAGACCAAGUCAGCUCACUUCCUGCCUAUCAGUAUGACUUACUCUAUGGGCAAGCUAGCAUAGUUCUUUUGUUCCCAUCGGUGCCAUUAAGGCUUUUUUACCUUCCACUGCUCUCAAAAGUGCAGAUAACUUGAUGCUUAACACUAUGAUUCAAUAGAAAGUACUGUAACCAAAUAUGGAUGACUGUGAAUACCUUACAAUACAGCCAAUAUUUGUUUUUUAAUUUCCCACCCGGUAUCGGAUACCUGCAUUAUGGCCCUACUAAAUCUUGAUUCGCGCAUAUUAUGGAAUAGUAACCGGAUCAAAGCAUCACAAGCAAGGUCAUUCCAGUAACUCUAAUGGUAAUUGGGAAAGCCUUGUUAUCCCAUUGGUUCUGAAGUAUUUACAGUAUCAGAUAUUCUGGAGUUUGAACAGAGACUUCAAUCUUACAACGUUAACAAGUUAACCUUCUCUAUUAAUCUGGGAACAACCAGGAUUGAUCAAAAGAUAACAAUAGAGAGCACAUGUUCGAUAUUAAAAAGAGGUAUUCAGAAGAUCUUCUACAUUGCAAUAACUGGGAGCGCAUUGCCUUACAACCAAUAAAACUUCAGAAGUAAGACAUAGCAAAUAUACAACACAUAGCACGACAAUGCAUAAUACACCACCGUCAAAUACCUACCUAUAUGACCCUUUAUUCAGCAAAUAGAUAGUAUUCAAGUCAAACUGUAGUUUCACCUUUUAAACUUCUUGAGACAAUACAUGGAACAUAAUUAAAUUAGUUGGGCUGAUCCCUACCACCCUCUCUGAGAAGCGCCUGAAGAAUGUCCAUUCAGACUAUCAAGCACAGUAUUGAAAUCAACCGUUUGACCACUCUCCUCAAGCCUCUGAAUCACAUUAACCACGUGAUCGCCCCUGUACCCCAUGCUUACCAUUUUCU
Molecule: long non-coding RNA, 45210 nt
Filed under: Nicotiana benthamiana
Lineage: Eukaryota; Viridiplantae; Streptophyta; Magnoliopsida; Solanales; Solanaceae
Description: long non-coding RNA (NBEN_LNC026141)
Rfam family: Plant small nucleolar RNA R71 (bases 8655-8763)
Source: RNAcentral